GGUGGCUGCGAUGGCAGCAAUAUUGUGCGUGGUCAUGACGGGGACGCUGGUGGCGCAGCCCGUGGUCUACCUCGUGUGCAAAAACCACCGCCAGAACCCAAGAACACUACCGGAGGUUUGACGACUGACAUCGUCGGCGACAAUGAUGGCGUGAAGCAAAGCCUGGCAUGGAGCUGCAUCCUGCAAAGCUUGGUAGUAAUGCUAAUUAAGUUGUGUUUCUACUGGACAAUUAAGUUUUUCUUCGGCAAAACUAGACAAUUCAUUAAGUUGCUGCCGGCAGCUACAGUACUAUUUGGAUUGCUAGUUGUGGAACUAUGCGCUUGGUAUUGGGUAUGCGUUUUUAUGCUUGGAUAUAUUUGGUUUGCUAUUGGAUAUGUGUGUGAGUUAAUCUGUAGUACUGCUGCAAUUCUUGAGAGUAUCAACUGUUACAGGUUAUGUUCACUGGGAGGAGCUGUAUAAGUGUGGCGAGUAUUUAUGCCAUUGUUUUUCUUUUGAGUUUGUACAUUUUCCAGUAAAAAAAAAGGUCAUGCACUGGAAUUUGGCUUGAUCAGACAUAACAUGCCUUCACAUCGUGUCAUUGUGACAGAUGGAUAACGUCGUUUGAUAAAUGAAUGAUCUUGAAUGCCAAAAAUUGAUUAAAUACUAAUCAUAUCGAGAAUUCCAUAUCUGAGUGUAUGCCUCCAAACACGCCCUAUACAUAUUGCAAUUGUGACAAUUUAUUUUUCUGAACAAAUGGAUAAGGCUCCUCGUGAAUUUUUUCCCGGAAAAAAAUGUAUAAUCCUUAUACUCAUAUAAAAGUUUGUUGUGGCAGUGUCUAUAUUGCAACCACAUCAUGGUUAGUAGACCUAUAUGGUGUUAAUUUGGAGCUUCAAAGAGUUACUCCCUCCGUCUCAUAAUGUAAGACGUUUUUUGACACUACACCAUUGUCAAAAAACAUCUUACAUUAUGGGACGAAGGGAGUAUUUAUUUCGAAUGUGUCAAUUUGGGCGACAAAGAAGUACGUUUGGAACUUAUAGUGGAUAAUCUUUCGGUGCCAUGCCACCUUAAUUUCAGCCUCUGGAUUUUACUUGUAACAGUUUUGCAACGAAUUUGGUGUGCAACUUCGAAUGCAUGGAGAGGCUCCGGUAGCCAUCCAUCAUCUAAAAAGAAAUAUCGGAAAAACAACCCCUUCUGCGUAGUGCUGCAUACAUACAUACAUACAUAAGAAAAAACCUCAUGUAUGCUCACGUUUGAACAGUAAAUUCGUAUAAGAAAAAUACAAAAUAAAACUCUUACCUUCUUUGAAUUAGAAAAUAAAAAUGGAAUAACUAUAAAUAUUACACAUGUAAUUUUUUUUAACACAAGACACAAAACUCAUAUGUUUUCACGAAGUUCUCAAACACACAAAAGUACCUAGGCAUAUGUAUGUUUUGUCUUUUUGGAACUGUUUGACAUUUUUUAAAUAUUUUGUCUGCUUCAAAAGGAAAAAAAAAACACAAGAUAGAAUUGCUUUUCUUUUUUGCGGGUAAGAUAGAGUUGCUAACAGAGAAGGAAAAGUACUGCAAGCAAAAUUGGCGGUCGUGUCAAUUUAGAUGGCCGGGCUGCUCGGUGCUCACCCCGGAUGGAUGGGCAAUGGAGGAAAAAUUGGAGGCUAUCUGAAUCUCGGCGGUUGAUGCGUGCAAUGACUCAAGUCAAAAGCAUUAAAAGCAUUCUGGCGAGCGCUUGAAGAUUGGAGGCUGGCGCCAAAUGCCUUGGCUCAUUUUUCUCUCUCCACUUUCCUUACUUUCCUCCUUGUCAGUUGUCACUUUGGUCAUCUCUCUGUACAUAUCCUCCCAGCAUACAAAUAGAAAGAAGGCCAGCAUUUGCUGAGUGGUUCAAAGAAAACUAUGGUGCCACCUUUCACCACAAACCAAGAAUCCAAGAUGGAGAAGAGCGUGAGGUCCGGCCGGUCAUAGCAGCAGCAGCCGGUGGGCCGGCCGUGUCAGUGGCAGCGAAGGCAAGCCCGUGGCGUCGCUCUGGUCAAUCGACUCCGCAGCGUCCAGCUGCUCGUCUCUCUCUCGGUCGACACGUACCUCACGCUAGUGCCUAGUGAUGGCUCGGCUGGUUUCCGUUUCCGGCAAAAGCAUCCACCAGGGACGCGCACCGUCGAGCCCAGCAUCGACGCAAGAAUGGCAAAAGGCCAGGCGAGGUACGACGCGGCCACCCUUACGUCUCCGUCGGCGGUGCAUCCUUUAAUGGCCGCCCACAGCUAGCUACUUCUACUAGGUAGUAGUAGUAGGAGAGUAGCGAGUAGUACGUGCUUGCUUGCUUUGGUGGCCAUGGCCGCAUGCACGCAGCUGAUCGUCUCAACUGAAAGCAAAGUGUGAAACGCGCGGCCAAGGUCUAUUCCUCAAGGUGUAAAUCUCAAAGCACACCUCUAUUCCGGUGCAAGAAACGAACCGAUGCCAUGGUAUACCUGAACUGAAAGCAAAGUGACUAGUGAGUGUGAAAUGCGAGACGAAUGGCGUGCAGCAGAGCGUGAAACUCUCACGACCAUACGUCUACGCCUACGCGUAAAACGAAACUUUAACUGCUACGUACCUAUUACCCAUAUGAUUUUAACGCUCUCCACGUGUCCACUAUACCACAUAGUUUAUCUUUUUUUUUUCAUUUUGUAGGAAGGCCAUGAUGGCUAGCUUUAUAUUAAAUUAAAGCAUGGUUACAUCGUCUAUGAGCUUACCGACAACAAUGUCAGGGGGCUCGUUUAACCAACUAAAAAAAGACUUAUUACUAUAGUUAUGGUUUGCUAGCACAUAAGCCACUCGACUACAAGAGCGAAGACAACGUUUGAAAGUGACCUUCCCGAUCAUAGUACCUACUAUAUCCAAGUUAAUGACUUUGAGUGAAUCUGAUUCCGCCUCGAUCCGGUUAAAACCAAGAGAAUUUGCAAAUGCCAACCCGUCUCUCUAGCCAUCACUUCAGUGGUAAUAGCAUCAGCUGAAUAUGGGAUAAACCUACACGGAGCACGGCCGUUGUCGCACCUAGCCCCUCAUCUGCGGGGAAUGCUGCAUUGACGUUUAGCUUAGUGUAUCUUGGGUUAGGUUUGUUCCAUCUUGUUUCAAGCACUGCUGUAAUAUAUGAGGAAGCCAUCUAAAAGUUCCUUUCUAUAGAUAGGAUCGACAUCGGCCAUCUCCAGGUUGGUGGCACUGAUUCGUUAUGCGUGAUUCUCUAUUGGAUCCACCAUAGGUACCAACUUCCUACAACCAGAGCUUGUUUAAAAUUGAUGUUUGGAUGUACCUUUAGGUGGUUAUAUCCGAUAGUGAAAACAUAUACUUAAAUAUGGCCAGCCUAAUCUGUCUACAUGUAAUGAAUGGUCAACGAACUCCAGCAUACUCAGUCGCUCUCACAGCUCCCUUGCGUGCAUGCAUCGAAACAGAAGAUGUUGUAUGACUUCUGCCCCUUGGUGACAAAUAGGACAAGCGUCAAUGGAGCCAACAUGUCUAUUUGCCGGGAUAGCUGCAAGAGGCACUAUUCCUCGUAGAAUCCUCCAAUAAAAAAUUUGAAUUUUAUGUGGAACCGGAAGUUUCCAUAGAGUAGUCCAUACUGCUAGGGAGUGAACCCUCCCAGUCUCUCCAUCUCAGUUGCGUGUGCCCUGAAAGUGUGUAACCACUCCAAGUGAUACAUUGUUCUAACCGGAAAAACCUCCAGUUCUAUUUGGCCGCCAUGCAACGAAGCCAUCAAAAGCUUGAUAGUGAUUAGGAAUUUGCAAUAUCCUUCGGACAUCUACAUGGUAAAAAAAAGCUUCUAGUAGUGUCUCAUCCCGUGUGCUAGUUGAAGGGUCAAUUAAUACACCCACCUUGGAGAAAAAUGUUUGCCCCUUUUGCGUGAUCACCUUCAAAAUUUGUACUAGCGGGUAUCCACCGGCCAUUCCGGAUAUUGACCUCCUCUCCGGUUCCUAUUCUCCAAAUAUAUCCCUUUUUAAAAGUUUAUAAUCCCUUCAAAAUACUUUGCCAAGUAAGGAUGCCCCAUUCUUCGAUGUGGCAUCAAGUAAGCUCCCGUUGGGAUAAUAUUUAGCUUUUAAUACCCUUGCCAGCAAAGAAUCCGGGUCAGUUAUGAGUCGCCAACUCUGUUUCACGAAUAAAACUAAGUUGAAAGAGUAGAGGUCAUGGAAUCCCAUACCUCCUUCACUCUUCGGAAUACAAAGCAUCCACCAUGCCAUCCACUACAUCUUCCUAUGUUUUUCAUCAUCACUCCACCAUGAGGGAUAACAUCCAUGAUUUCUUUGCAGAUCCCCUUGGGUAUACUAAACACAUAAUUUCUAUACCUAAUAAUUAUUAUUAUUAUAAAAGAUGGUGUGUUUCUCUGGAUUUCUGGUCCGUUCACCCAUAUAACUAUUUUUGAGAUUUUUUUUCCAUGCAAGGUAGUACUAAAUAUUUUACGCCUCCGUCCUUCCACUUCUACCUCAAUCAUAUGUUUGGUUUGUAUGCCACUACACCUUCGAUAGCUGCCUGGGCCUGAGCCCAUCGAACCUAUCAGCUGGCCCGACUCCAUUGGGACCUGGCAACCCGGUAGUGUAGGCAAUAGAAUAAGAAACAUUGUGAGGUAUCAAACUCAAGACCCGACUAAAAGAAUUGAGGUGAUUAUGAGAGCAUGGUUAAUGAUAUAGCCAAGAGCAGGCUAUAUGGGGUUGUCAUGUCAUUAUAGUCAAUCUAAUAUCACACUCAUACAAUAGUUAGUCAUACUAAUAUGCACUACCAUUAGUGCAUGGUACACAUCUUUCUCUCACAAGCGUUGUUGGGGCUUGUGUUACAAGCCGGCUGUAAGCUUGUAACCCGCUUCUCUUCUCUCUCCUCUGCUCUCUCCUCCAACUAGGAACAAAUUUAACGUGGCAGCUCUUAUAGCCCGCAUUCUUUAACAUUACAUAAUUUUAAGUGGGCUCAAUGUCCAGGUGUGAAAACUCUAGGUACGACCUUCUUUGGUUAAACCUAACAACUGUGUCAUUCACGAGAUGUUCCCAUGUUAAAGGCAUUGCAUGGAGUUUACCCAGACUUAUUCCAUGACGAACACCCAUCAUCUUGCCUCAGUGCUUUGGUCUAGUGACAACGUUGCUCAUGCAUCGUUUCCUUUUUUGAGGCGUCGUUGUUGAAGUACCUAUCAUGUAACCUGGGGUUACCAUCCUUCAAGGUUGUUGUUGUUGUUUGCCACAGUCGUUCAGUUGGUUGAUUUUUUUAUAGUUAUUUACUUGUGUGAAUCCUCAAUCUCUUGAGUAAUGCUCGAGUUAUAUUGCUGUAGAGGGUGGGUUUAAUUGAUAUCUUCUCGAUAUUCAUAUAUUCCCUUUACAAAAAGAAUUGGACGCUAACACGUGGUCUCACUCAAACAUAGUAACUUUGAUAACUAAGGAUAUGUACAUGUGUUCUAUUUUACAACAUCUCCAACAGAUGCACAAUAAUAGUUGUCGUCCCCGAAAAAUUAUCAUUUGGGUUCUUUUGAAGAAAAUCAGCUCCAACAGAUGCCUUAUAGGUAUGUGGUGCCUAAAACAUUUUAUAUCAAACACAAGCUUUCACUACAAGUGAGAGCAUUUCCAAAAUAUGACAAGAAGUUUGGUGCCCCAAAAAUAAUUUUAGGUGAGGAAAGAGAAGGUAUUUGGGCACCAUAAUAUAGUUUUUUUCUUCUUUUCUUGAUGCCCUAAAAAUUUGGCAUUCUUCCUCUACCACACAAAUUUGAGCAUAUGAAAUUUUAGAAAAUAAUAUCAAACUCGUUUCAAAUUAAACAAAAAUAGUACUUAAUUAUUACGAGUUCAUCAUUCCGCAACCUCAAAUUCAACACAAUUAUUCAAACAUGACACAAAUUAAGAUCACCACAAAUGACAUGACACAUAGAGUUAGAACUAGUGGCGUUGUUGCCCAUUCCACAUCCAUCACUCCUCGGUGAGAUAUUGUUCAAGAUCUUCAUGAGUAUCCACAUCUCGAAUUUCAUGAUGAACCACAAAGAACGCUUCAAAUUUGUCAUCUCUUCUACGCGGACGGUGGUGGCGUGUGUAAUACGGAGCUACGCAUGUAUGCACAUGUUUGUACCUGGCUCCAUCCACUAAUAAAAACAUACAAAAUGGAUUAGUUAUCUUAACCUAUAACUAUGCAUUUAUAUGUUUAAGUAGUAUACAUACUAGUGGUGAAUCCAGCCUGCCUAAGAACGUUUUAGCCCUAUUGUAGAUUUCAUCACUUUCCAUUACUCUCUCGUUCUUUAAUACUUUUCUUGUGUACUUUGAUUUCAAGUGACAACCCCUUGCAAUAGUUACACUUCCAUGUCAAUUUUGCUUUGAACAACAAUUAAAUCACAUGCACAUUCUGGUACAGCAUUACGAGAGGCAAAGAACAUUUCCUGUGUGCCAUUUAGGAAAAGGCUACAACUAAAUCAUAUGCAAUUGCCAAACAUCAAGUUGUCGUUCUCGAAGUUCUACACUUAAUUCUUCCUGCUCCAUCAGUUGUGUGGUGCGGCCAACAUGCACUAGCCAGCAGCAUGCGAUGAUAGUGGUGGCAGUGAAAAGGGAUCCAACUUAAGUUAAGAUGAUUCAGGAGGGCGAAAUGAUUUUUAUUCUUUCCGUGGCAAUAACCGUGGACCUCCCGGUUCAACAAGUUUUUUCCGCUUCAUUGCAUGAAUGGUCCAUGUUGCUUAACCUCUGCAUACUGGAUCACUGGGAAGUCAGAGCAUGAGGAUUUAUGUAGAGGUGGCUGAGUGAGGUGAUUAGUCAUAUCUGCAUUUAGGAUAGACUGUAGGAGAUCAGCAGCUAAGACAAACAGAGGAGGGUUACGGGGUCCCCCUGUUUGACCCCCUCUUGUAGUGAAAAACCUUUCUAGGUACCCCAUUGAGCAUAAUAGAAGAUGUCCCAGAGUUGAAAAUCUUUUCCAUCCACAUUAGCCAUAUUUCUCCAAAACCUCUUGCUUUCAGAAUCACUAGAAUAGUGGAUCAAAGGCCUUCUCAAAUUCUAGCUAUUGGAUUAGAAUUUGCUUCAUUGACAUGUGGCAUUGAUGCAAAUACUCAAAGACCCGAGCUAGGCAAUCAUGAAUUGUUCUGCUCUUGAUGAAGCCAUAUUGAUUAGGGUGUACUAGCUGCAGGAUAACUUUCUGAAGUCUGUUUGCUAGCAGCUUACUAAUGAUUUCAAUAGAUCAAUUUAAGAGGGAUAUGGUCCCGAAGUCAUUUGCAUUCAGAGGGGUGUCUUCCUUUAGAAUGAGUGUGAUGAAAGAGGCAUUGAUGCUACCCAGAUGGCAUUUUCCCUGGUGGAAGUCUUCAAUGAGCUUGUAAAAAUCCUUUGAAAUAAUGUUCCAGCGAGCUUUGAUGAAAGCUCCAUUAAAGCCAUCGGGUCUAAGAGCCUUGUCAGUGGGGAUCUCCCAGAUCACUGCAUUCCUCUUUAGCGAAGGGGGGCUCUAAACUCUGCAAGUUAUCUCUUUUGUGAAGCACUGAGUGCAGAUUUAGCAGGUUGCUAGUUGCUUUAGUUUAUCCGAAGCUCUCUUUGAAGGCUUCUUUGAUAAAAUUGGCUUUGGCUUGGUUUUUAGUAAACUCAUUUCCAGACUCAUCUUGCAUAAUAGAAAUGUGGUUUUAUCUCUAUUCAAAAGUUGCCUUGGCUUAAAAGAACUUGGAGUUUUCAUCUCUAAAUUUUUAGUAGAACUACUAUUGUAUUUGAACAUUUGAACUACUCUAGACUAUAUAUGUGGCUAUUUGAGCGUGCGUACUUUUCAAGAAAAUUUUUGGGUCAGAGGUAUGCCGAUAGCUUUGGAUGGGCGGAUCUCGUACCCGUGUCCCCGGACUGGCCCCCCUAUCCGCGGACGGAUGCAGUGUUUGUUUUGCAGGUCAGCAUUGGAGAUGCCCGAGAAAAAGUGAAGAGAAAAAAACAAGAUGGAAACAAAUAUAGGCCCUAUGUCGCGACCAUUGCACGAACCAUGCACUCGUGAUGCAGACAGAUAUCAACUCAUAAAUGUUGGACCCUAAUAAGUGCGACACAUGUGGCACAGAGCAAUUCCGCCCUGGCGUUUUUUUAUGACAAGUUUAAGGACGACAAUUUUUAUUGUGAAGCAUGGCAACUUUCUGUUUAGAUGACAANNNNNNNNNNNNNNNNNNNNNNNNNNNNNNNNNNNNNNNNNNNNNNNNNNNNNNNNNNNNNNNNNNNNNNNNNNNNNNNNNNNNNNNNNNNNNNNNNNNNNNNNNNNNNNNNNNNNNNNNNNNNNNNNNNNNNNNNNNNNNNNNNNNNNNNNNNNNNNNNNNNNNNNNNNNNNNNNNNNNNNNNNNNNNNNNNNNNNNNNNNNNNNNNNNNNNNNNNNNNNNNNNNNNNNNNNNNNNNNNNNNNNNNNNNNNNNNNNNNNNNNNNNNNNNNNNNNNNNNNNNNNNNNNNNNNNNNNNNNNNNNNNNNNNNNNNNNNNNNNNNNNNNNNNNUUAUCAUUUGGGUUUUUACAACUAAAAUUGCCAUGAAAAAAACUCCCAAGAAAACUAAAACUUGUCAUUCAAACAUAAAGUUGUCAUACUUCAUAACUUUAACAUUCCGGGUAACUAAAGUUGCCAUAAAAAAAGUCAAGGAGGAACUGCUUCGUGUCACACGUGUGAUCCUUAUCAGGAUCCUUCUUCUUCUCAUGUCCAAGAAAAGGAACAAAAAUCACGGUUUCUGCAAAAUUUGUCAAGCUUAAACAGUUGUACUAGCUGCUACCCAGCACUCCCACUUAGAGUCUCACAAACCCUCACACAUAUAUAAUGCCAAGCAUGCAUAUCCGGUGCAGUGAUAAUCACUCACAAACUUACGACUACAGCAACUUACUACUACAAUCUACUAUACUACUUAAGUCAAAUCUUCUUCACGCUGCUACCACCGUAGAGUCGUGGACAAGAUGCAGCUAGCUAGGCAGAUUUGCUGGAAUCUGCUCCGUCUCGACAGGCUCCAGCAGCUCAACGCCUGUGUGACGGCCGCUCGAACUCAGUCGAGGUGGACCUUGUCGAUGACCUCGUGGUGGUGGUUCUUGCACACCGGCUGCGCCACCAGCGUCAAGAGCACCACCGCGCACAGAGCCACCGCCAUCGCCACCCCGGCGGCCAGCUGGAACCCGAGGCCGAGGCCCAGCGAAUCGUCCACGACCAGAACCGGGAAAGCCACGAGCAGGGCGAAGAUGCAACCGUCGAGCGUGACGAAGACGCCGGCUGCCGCCCAGAACUUGCCGGCGAGGAGCGCGCGACUCUUGCGCAGGGCGCGGAAGAGCACGGCGUCCUCGAGCAGGGACACCACGCAGGCCAGCUGGCACACCACGGCGACGUAGGCCGCGCCGGCGAGGCACGCGGCCCAUCCCAGCAGCUGCAGCGGCAGCAUGAUCUUGUCCGGAGUGCCGAGCAGAUCCUGGGGAUGGAACAAGGGGGCGACGAAGAUGGAGGCGCAGAGCACGAGGAAGAUGGGGACCGCGGCGACGAGCAACGUGCAGACGAGCCGCGUGAGCGGGACCGUGGGGAACCCCCUGAGGGCGCGAUCGGCGGCGCGGAGGUCGCCUCCGGUGGAGUAGAGGGAGGCAACGCAGAAGACGUAGGCGGCGGUGGUGCAGAGGAGCACGAGCAGGAGGACAAGGCCGAUGGAGACGGUCGCGAAGAGGAAGAAGGCGAGCCUGUCCGUGACGAGGCGGAGGAGGCCGGGGCCGUCGUGGUCGUGGAGGUCGGAGAGGACGCGGGAGCAGAGGGCGCGGGAUGGCGGCGGAGCUGGCGAGCAAGAGCGCGGAGAGCAGCGGGGGACCCAGGUUGACGAAGUUGGGGAGCAUGGCGCGGUGAACCACACGGCAGAUCUCCCGGCAGAUACCGGAGAGGCCGAGGCCCCCGAGAGCCUGCUGGUCGGGUGUCCACUCCAUGGAUCGAUCGAGCAGGUAUAGUGGUGGUGGUGGGAAGGAAAGUGAGCUACUGCUACUGAAGGAAAGAGGAUGAGCAGACUGCGAGGAACAGGGGAAAGGGAAUUGAACACCGAACCAAGUGCUCGCCCGUUGGUGCACAAGCAUUCAAGCAAGGCCUCGCCGCGUCGAUCGUGCGUGUUUGCUUAUUCGGACCGGGCUGUGCUUGCUUAGUGAUCGUUCCAAUUAGCAAUGGCGAAAUCGAUUUCCAUUAACGUACGUGCGUGUGCAUCUAUGAUUUUUUUGGGAUUUAAUGAAACAUGCAAUUAGGUGGUUUUUUCACCCACGCGAGCACAAGGGCCGGAGAGAAGCUCAAGCCGCUCCAAGUGGCCUCCUCAUCUAGGUAGUCCAGGACCGGUCCUAUAUUUCGGGGGCCCAGGGCGAAAUUACAACCAGGAGGCCCUACUAUAAAGAUUAAAAUAAUAAUCUUAUUUUUUUAGUUCAUUCCUUUACUUAACUUAUUGUUGUCUAUUGUUCCAAAAUAAAACAAAAAAUGUAAAUGGUGUACUCCUUUACUUAAUUAGACAAAUCGAAUACCUGAUAGAGGGCAAACAUCAAGAUGAAAGGUUUAUAAAGUUUAAAAGCUUCAUUCGCAACAAUAAAAGAUCAUUUACCUACCCGAUGGCUAUGGGAGUCUGAGUGGCUUUAUUAUAUAACCAUGCUUGGAUUGAAGUUAUGCUCGUAAGAAUAGCUGAGACCUUCUUCCAAUUUUUAAGUUAAGUUUGCAGUUAUGAUGAUUUGGAGAGAGAAUGCAAAGACCGACAAUCGAACACAUAGCAGACAAAUUUUUCAAUAGAUAAGGUGAUUGGUGUUGUGUUGACAAAGUACAGAUUGAAGUAAGAAAUAGAGCAACGGGCACACGAAAUCAAAAUUUUGUACUGCAUCAUAUGCAAGACCUUCUAAGAUCUGACUGCUGCUGCACCAUAUGAACGUGACCAACUAGAAAGAGGAGGUUAGGGAUGACCUUAUAAGUGGAGUGGCUUCGUCUUGCACAUGAGAGACAUCUCACGAAUGCGGGAUAACACAAUGGGCCCGAGGACCUGGAGGAAGACCUGCCGGCCGCAUGUCAGAGAGCGAUCUACAUCGGCGGCGCGUCUCACGAUCGGGGCCCUCAGGGGAAUAGUAUCGUCGCGAAGCGGCGAACUCGCGAUGGAAAGAAGGAAAACAUGACUACUCGUGAACUACGUGCGUCUAGGUCGCUGCCUCCUUAUGGUCUGGACCAUGGGCUCCUUGCGAACCCUGGAGGGGCCCCUAGAUUUCGAGGGCCCUGGGCGGCCGCCCCCCUGCCACCCCCUCAGGGCCAGCCCUGAGCUAGUCUAUCGUCUCAGAGCCUCUGUUGCACCGCUGCAUGCACCGGUAUAGAAUGGCAUGGGCUCAUGGCCACAUGGGAGCGCACAGGUGCUCACCGCGUCGUGCCUGCGCCUGCGUCUGCGACGUGCACCAUAAUGCUUUGAUCCGGAAUGGAAAUAUGGCGUGCAGACAGCUCGAUCAUAACAUGCAUCCCGAUUCUUACAUCUACUGAAGCAUGCAUAUUUUCGCACAAAGUUUUCGUGCGGUUUUUAGAAAUGUGGCCUUACGAAUGGAACGAAAAUGUAUCAGCCGAUUGUUAAGCUCGUUAAGGAUAUGAACAUAAAACCUUAUGAAUAUAAUGAAAAUGAUUACUUGAGAAUGUAUAAUGUACAUAUUAAACGUGUACAAUGUUCACAAAAAAUUGUAAGCAUGUACGAGCAUCACUUACAAUUGUCAGUACCAUCAACGGUGUAGCCGCAUCGCCACCGCCAUAACGAUUCAUAGGAGAAAGAAACAACAAAGACAUGAGGGAAAUAGACCACCUAUAACUUCGCUAAGAAUAUAAAUGGAAUGAGAGAAAUCGUUGUGUGUGACGUGCGAGUCUCCCGGGCGGCUGGGCCUUGUAUUGUGCGUCCGGGACACCGAGUGCUUGCUUGAUCUUUUGUACCGAGCCUAACGAGUUACACGAGUAUUCGCGAGAUCGGCUCGUUUAACUUGGUCUAUAAACAAUCUUAAACUAGAGUUUGGCUCGACUCGUUAUUCUUCGAGUUCCAGUCGAUUCGAGCCGAGUCACGAACUACUCUUUAGCUUGCGAGCUUCGAGUGUUUUUUCCAGCCCUAAACAUACACAACGAAUCAAACACACAUGAUGUGCCAUAUAAUCGGAAAUUUGCUACUGUCCUACAAACCUCUGUACUUUGAGGCCCAACAACGUCUACAAGAAAAAGGUUCUGUAGUAGACAUCAAGCUCUUUUCUGGCACCGUUGUCGGAAAGGUGAGUGCUUGAAGGUAUAUCUUUAGAUCUUGCAAUCUAAUCUUUUUGUUUCUUGUUUUAUCACUAGUUUAGUCUAUAAAAGAAAAUUACAAAAAAAUGGAAUUGAAUUUGCCUCAUGCGCUUAAUCUUUUUAAUAUCUUUUGUGAGAAUGAUGGUAAGAAAAAUUGUGCUCAAGUGCUAGAAGAAGAAGUCUAUAAAAUGUUUGGCACUAAAUAUUUGAAUGAUGAGUAUGAUUGCAAUGUUGUUAGUAUGAAUUCUUUGAAUACCCAUGAUGCUAAUGAUAUGCAAAGCCACAAGCUUGGGAUGCUAUGUUUGAUGAAUAUAAUAUUUUUUGUCCCCCAAAUUUUGAUGAGCACAUUUAUUAUGAUGAAAGCAUGCCUGCUAUUUAUGAUGAUUAUUAUGAUGAUACAGAUGCCAUAAAGAAUAAACAUAAUCAUGAGACUUGUCAUCAUGAUUUUAAUUUUCCAUUGGAUUAUGCUUCACAUGAUAGUUAUUUUGUUGAGUUUGCUCCCACUACUAUUCAUGAGAAGAAAUUUUCUUAUGUGGAGAGUAAUAAAAAUUCUAUGCUUGUAGACCAUGAAAAGAAUGCUUUAUGUGAUGGUUAUAUUGUUGAAUUCAUUCAUGAUGCUACUAAAAAUUAUUAUGAGGGAGGAACAUAUGUUUGUAGAGAUUGCAAUAAUAUCAAGUUUCCUCUCUACGUGCUUAAAAUCCUGAAGUUAUGCUUGUUUUGCCUUCCUAUGUUAGUUGAUUAUUGUUCCCAUAAGUUGUUUGCUCACAAAAUCGCUAUGCAUAGGAAGUGGGUUAGUCUUAAAUGUGCUAGUCAUAUGCUUCAUGAUGCUCUCGUUAUAUUUCAAUUCUUAUCUUUUAUGUGAGCAUCAUUGUCAUUAUCAUGCCUAGCUAGAAAGGCAUUAAAGAAAAACGCUUGUUGGGAGACAACCCAAUAUUUAUCCUUACUGUUUUUAUGUGUCCACAUGAUUAUGCUAUUGUAGCAAUCAUGUUAUAUAGCUUUUGUUUCAAUAAAGUGCCAAGUAAGACCUUUGGGAUAGCUUACGGUGAUAGUUGUGUUGAUCCUGCUGAAAAUCAGAAACUUUUGUGCCCAGUAAAUUAGUUUUGAUAAUUCACAGAAACGUGAUAUUGAUCUAAUUCUUUUUGCUCUGGCUUGGUAAUAAAUCUCCCAGGUUUCCCUAAUUUGGUACGAUUUUUGGAGUUAUAGAAGUAUUCGAGAGUUAUAGAUUACUACAGAUUGUUCUGUUUUUGACAGAUUCUGUUUUAUAUGUGUUGUUUGCUUAUUUUGAUGAAUCUAUGAGUAGUAUCGGAGGGUAUGAACCAUAGAAAAAUUGGAAUACAGUAGAUAUUACACCAAUAUGAAUUUAGAAUGAGUUCACAACAGUACCUAAUGUUGGGGAACGUUCCAGAAAAUAAAAAAUUUCCUACGGUUUCACCAAGAUCAAUCUAUGAGUUCAACUAGAAACGAGUGAGAGGAGUGCAUCUACAUACCCUUGUAGAUCGAGCGGAAGCGUUCAAGAGAACGGGGUUGCGGGAGUCGUACUCGUCGUGAUCCAAAUCACCGAUGAUCCUAGUGCUGAACGGACAACACCUCCACGUUCAACACACGUACGGUUGGGGAAGACGUCUCCUCCUUCUUGAUCCAGCAAGGGGGAAGGAGAGGUUGAUGGAGAUCCAGCAGCACGACAGCGUGGUGCUGGAUGCAGCAGCAAUCUCGGUAGGGCUUCAUCAAAUGUCUGCGAGAGGGAGAGGUGUAGUAGAGGGAGAGGGAGGCGCCAAGAGCAUGGGUCUGGCCGCCCUCCCCCCUCUUUAUAUAGGGCCCCUAGGGGGGCGCCGGCCCUAGGAGAUGGGAUUUCUAAGGAGGGGCGGCGGCCAAGGGGGUGGCUUGUUGGAAAUAUGCCCUAGAGGCAAUAAUAAAUUAGUUAUUAUUAUUAUAUUUCCUUGUUCAUGAUAAUCGUUUAUUAUCCAUGCUAUAAUUGUAUUGAUAGGAAACUCAGAUACAUGUGUGGGUACAUAGACAACACCAUGUCCCUAGUAAGCCUCUAGUUGACUAGCUUGUUGAUCAAUAGAUGGUUACGAUUUCCUAACCAUGGACAUUGGAUGUCGUUGAUAACGGGAUCACAUCAUUAGGAGAAUGAUGUGACGGACAAGACCCAAUCCUAAGCCUAGCACAAAGAUCGUGUAGUUCGUAUGCUAAAGUUUUUCUAAUGUCAAGUAUCAUUUCCUUAGACCAUGAGAUUGUGCAACUCCCGGAUGUUGGAAAUAUGCCCUAGAGGCAAUAAUAAAAGCAUUAUUAUUAUAUUUCCUUGUUCAUGAUAAUUGUCUUUAUUCAUGCUAUAAUUGUGUUAUCCGGAAAUCGUAAUGCAUGUGUGAAUAACAGACACCAACAUGUCCCUAGUGAGCCUCUAGUUGACUAGCUCGUUGAUCAACAGAUAGUCAUGGUUUCCUGACUAUGGACACUGGAUGUCAUUGAUAACGAGAUCACAUCAUUGGGAGAAUGAUGUGAUGGACGAGACCCAAUCCUAAACAUAGCACAAGAUCGUAUAGUUCAUUUGCUAGAGUUUUGCAAUGUCAAAGUAUCUUUUCCUUAGACCAUGAGAUCGUGUAACUCCCGGAUACCGUAGGAGUGCUUUGGGUAUGCCAAACGUCACAACGUAACUGGGUGACUAUAAAGGUAGACUACGGGUAUCUCCGAAAGUGUCUGUUGGGUGACAUGGAUCAAGACUGAGAUUUGUCACUCCGUAUGACGGAGAGGUAUCACUGGGCCCACUCGGUAAUGCAUCAUCAUAAUGAGCUCAGAGUGACCAAGUGUCUGGUCACGGGAUCAUGCAUUACGGUACGAGUAAAGUGACUUGCCGGUAACGAGAUUGAACGAGGUAUUGGGAUACCAACGAUCGAAUCUCGGGCAAGUAACAUAUCGAUAGACAAAGGGAAUAGCGUACGGGGUUGAUUGAAUCCUCGACAUCGUGGUUCAUCCGAUGAGAUCAUCGUGGAGCAUGUGGGAGCCAACAUGGGUGUCCAGAUCCCGCUGUUGGUUAUUGACCGGAGAGUCGUCUCGGUCAUGUCUGCUUGUCUCCCGAACCCGUAGGGUCUACACACUUAAGGUUCGGUUACGCUAGGGUUGUAGGGAUAUGUAUAUGCAGUAACCCGAAUGUUGUUCAGAGUCCCGGAUGAGAUCCAGGACGUCACGAGGAGUUCCGGAAUGGUCCAGAGGUAAAGAUUUAUAUAUGGGAAGUCUUGUUUCGGGCAUCGGGACAAGUUUCGGGGUUAUCGGUAUUGUACCGGGACCACCGGAAGGGUCCCGGGGGUCCACCGGGUGGGUCCACCUGUCCCGGGGGGGCACAUGGGCUAUAAGGGGGUGCGCCUUGGCCUAAUGGGCCAAGGGCACCAGCCCCACAUAGGCCCAUGCGCCUAGGGUUUAAGGGGGCAAGAGUCCUAGGAGGGUAAGGCACCUCCUAGGUGCCUUGGGGGGGAGGGAAACCUCCCCUUGGCCGCCGGCCAUAGGAGAUUGGAUCUCCUAGGCUGCGCACCACCCCCCCUUGGCACCCCUAUAUAUAGUGGGGGAGAGGAGGGACUUCAUACCUGAACGCCUCGGCCUUUGGUUGCCUCCUUCUCCCUCCCCAACACCUCCUCAACCUCCAUAGUGCUUAGCGAAGCUCUGCCGGAGUACUGCAGCUCCAUCAACACCACACCGUCGUGCGGCUGCUGGUGCCAUCUCCCUCAACCUCUCCUCCCUCCCUUGCUGGAUCAAGAAGGAGGAGACGUGGCUGUUCCGUACGUGUGUUGACCGCGGAGGUGCCGUCCGUUCGGCGCUGGUCAUCGGUGAUUUGGAUCACGUCGAGUACGACUACAUCAUCACCGUUCUUUUGAACGCUUCCGCUCGCAAUCUACAAAGGUAUGUAGAUGCAUCUAAUCACUCGUUGCUAGAUGAACUCCUAGAUGAUCUUGGUGAAAUGAGUGGGAAAUUUUUUGUUUUCUGCAACGUUCCCCAAAAGUGGCAUCAUGAGCUAGGUCUAUGCGUAGUUCUUCUUGCGCGAGUAGAACACAAUUUGUUGUGGGCGUAGAUUUGUCAACUUUCUUGCCGUUACUAGUCCUUUCUUGCUUCAGCGGUAUUGUAGGAUGAAGCGGCCCGGACCAACCUUACACGUACGCUUACGUGAGACCGGUUCCACCGACUAACAUGCACUAGUUGCAUAAGGUGGUUGGCGGGUGUCUAUCUCUCCUACUUUAGUUGGAGCGGAAUCGAUGAACAGGGUCCUUAUGAAGGGUAAAUAGAAGUUGACAAAUCACGUUGUGGCUUUAACGUAGGUAAGAAAACGUUCUUGCUAGAACCCUAAUUCAGCCACGUAAAACUUGCAACAACAAUUAGAGGACGUCUAACUUGUUUUUGCAGCAAGUGGUUUGUGAUAUGAUAUGGCCAAAGUUGUGAUGAAUGAUGAAUGAUCUAUAUGUGAUGUAUGAGAUGUUCAUGCUAUUGUAAUAGGAUUCACGACUUGCAUGUCGAUGAGUAUGACAACCGGCAGGAGCCAUAGGAGUUGUCUUUAUUCUUUUAUAUGACCUGCGUGUCAUCAAGAAACGCCAUGUAAAUUACUUUACUUUAUUGCUAAACGCGUUAGCCAUAGUAGUAGAAGUAAUAGUUGGCGAGCAACUUCAUGGAGACACGAUGAUGGAGAUCAUGGUGUCAAGCCGGUGACAAGAUGAUCAUGGAGCCCCAAGAUGGAGAUCAAAGGAGCUUUGUGAUAUUGGCCAUAUCAUGUCACGUUUAUUAUUUGAUUGCAUGUGAUGUUUAUCAUGUUUUGCAUCUUGUUUACUUAGAACGACGGUAGUAAAUAAGAUGAUCCCUCACAAUAAUUUCAAGAAGUGUUCCCCCUAACUGUGCACCGUUGCGACAGUUCGCUGUUUCAAAACACCACGUGAUGAUCGGGUGUUUUAUUCAGACGUUCACAUACAACGGGUGUAAGACAGAUUUACACAUGCAAACACUUAGGUUGACUUGACGAGCCUAGCAUGUACAGACAUGGCCUCGGAACACAGAAGACCGAAAGGUCGAGCAUGAGUCGUAUAGAAGAUACGAUCAACAUGAAGAUGUUCACCGAUGUUGACUAGUCCGUCUCACGUGAUGAUCGGACACGGUCUAGUUUAACUCGGAUCAUGUAAUACUUAGAUGACCAGAGGGAUGUCUAAUCUAAGUGGGAGUUCACUAAUAAUUUGAUUAGUUGAACUUAAUUAUCAUGAACUUAGUCUAAAAUCUUUGCAAUAUGUCUUGUAGAUCAAAUGGCCAACGUAGUCCUCAACUUCAACGCGUUCCUAGAGAAAACUAAGCUGAAAGACGAUGGCAGCAACUAUACGGACUGGGUCCGGAACCUGAGGAUCAUCCUCAUAGCUGCCAAGAAAGAUUAUGUCCUACAAGCACCGCUUGGUGACGCAUCCGUUCUCCCUGCAGAACAAGAUGUUAUGAACGCUUGGCAGGCACGUUUCGAUGACUACUCCCUCGUUCAGUGCGGCAUGCUUUACAGCCUAGAGCCGGGGCUCCAAAAGCGUUUUGAGAGACAUGGAGCAUAUGAGAUGUUCGAAGAGCUGAAAAUGGUUUUCCAAGCUCAUGCCCGGGUCGAGAGAUAUGAAGUCUCCGACAAAUUCUUUAGCUGUAAGAUGGAGGAAAACAGUUCUGUCAGUGAGCACAUACUCACUAUGUCUGGGUUGCAUAACCGCUUGACUCAGCUGGGAGUUAAUCUCCCGGAUGAUGCGGUCAUUGACAGAAUCCUCCAGUCGCUUCCACCAAGCUACAAGAGCUUUGUGAUGAACUUCAAUAUGCAGGGGAUGGAAAAGACCAUUCCUGAAGUAUUUGCUAUGCUGAAAUCAGCAGAGGUAGAAGUCAGAAAGGAACAUCAAGUGUUGAUGGUCAAUAAAACCACUAAGUUCAAGAAAGUCAAGGGUAAAAAGAACUUCAAGAAGGACGGCAAGGAGGUUGCCGCGCCCGGCAAGCAAGCUGCUGGGAAGAAGCCAAAGAAUGGACCCAAGCCCGAGACUGAGUGCUUUUAUUGCAAGGGAAGCGGUCACUGGAAGCGGAACUGCCCUAAGUACUUAGCAGAUAAGAAGGCCGGCAAAACAAAAGGUAUAUGUGAUAUACAUGUAAUUGAUGUGUACCUUACUAGUGCCCAUAGUAGCUCCUGGGUAUUUGAUACCGGUGCAGUUGCUCACAUUUGUAACUCAAAGCAGGGGCUGCGGAAUAAGCGGAAACUGGCAAAGGACGAGGUGACGAUGCGCGUCGGGAAUGGUUCCAAGGUCAAUGUGAUCGCCGUCGGCACGCUACCUCUGCAUCUCCCUUCGGGAUUAGUUUUAAACCUUAAUAAUUGUUAUUUAGUGCCAGCUUUGAGCAUGAACAUUGUAUCGGGAUCUUGUUUAAUUCGAGAUGGCUACUCUUUUAAAUCUGAGAAUAAUGGUUGUUCCAUUUUUAUGAGAGAUAUGUUUUAUGGUCAUGCUCCUAUGGUGAAUGGUUUAUUCCUUAUGAAUCUCGAACGUGAUGCUACACAUAUUCAUAAUGUGAGUACCAAAAGAAGUAAGGUUGAUAAUGAUAGUCCCACAUACUUGUGGCACUGCCGCCUUGGUCACAUAGGUGUUAAACGCAUGAAGAAGCUCCAUGCUGAUGGACUUUUAGAGUCUCUUGAUUAUGAAUCAUUUGACACGUGCAAACCAUGCCUUAUGGGUAAAAUGACCAAGACUCCGUUCUCAGGAACAAUGGAGCGAGCAACCGACUUAUUGGAAAUCAUACAUACUGAUGUGUGCGGUCCGAUGAGUGUUGAGGCUCGCGGUGGCUAUCGUUAUGUUCUCACCCUCACUGAUAAUUUAAGUAGGUAUGGGUAUAUCUACUUAAUGAAACACAAGUCUGAAACCUUUGAAAAGUUCAAGGAAUUUCAGAGUGAGGUUGAAAAUCAACGUGACAGGAAAAUCAAGUUUCUACGAUCAGAUCGUGGAGGAGAAUACUUGAGUCACGAGUUUGGGGCACACUUAAGAAAAUGUGGAAUAGUUUCACAACUCACGCCGCCUGGAACACCUCAGCGUAAUGGUGUGUCCGAACGUCGUAAUCGCACUCUGUUAGAUAUGGUGCGAUCUAUGAUGUCUCUUACCGAUUUACCGCUUUCUUUUUGGGGCUAUGCUUUAGAGACUGCCGCAUUCACUUUAAAUAGGGCUCCGUCGAAAUCCGUUGAGACGACACCGUAUGAAUUAUGGUUUGGGAAGAAACCUAAGCUGUCGUUUCUAAAAGUUUGGGGAUGCGAUGUUUAUGUCAAGAAACUUCAACCUGAAAAGCUCGAACCCAAAUCGGAAAAAUGCGUCUUCAUAGGGUACCCAAAAGAAACUAUUGGGUACACCUUCUACCUCAGAUCCGAAGGCAAGAUCUUUGUUGCCAAGAAUGGGUCCUUUCUGGAGAAAGAGUUUCUCUCGAAAGAAGUAAGUGGGAGGAAAGUGGAGCUUGAUGAAGUAUUGCCUCUUGAACCGGAAAAUGGCGCAACUCAAGAAAAUGUUCCUGAGGUGCCUGCACCGACUAGAGAGGAAGUUAAUGAAAAUGAUCAAGAUACUUCUGAUCAAGCCCCUACUGAAAUCCGAAGGUCCACAAGGACACGUUCCGCACCAGAGUGGUACGGCAACCCUGUCUUGGAAAUCAUGUUGUUAGACAACGGUGAACCUUCGAACUAUGAAGAAGCGAUGGCGGGACCGGAUUCCGACAAAUGGCUGGAAGCCAUGAAAUCCGAGAUAGGAUCCAUGUAUGAAAACGAAGUAUGGACUUUGACUGACUUGCCCGUUGAGCGGCGAGCCAUAGAAAAUAAAUGGAUCUUUAAGAGGAAGACAGACGCGGAUGGUAAUGUGACCAUCUAUAAAGCUCGGCUUGUCGCUAAGGGUUAUCGACAAGUUCAAGGGGUUGACUACGAUGAGACUUUCUCACCGGUAGCGAAGCUGAAGUCCGUCCGAAUCAUGUUAGCAAUUGCCGCAUUCUAUGAUUACGAAAUAUGGCAAAUGGACGUCAAAACGGCAUUCCUUAAUGGUUUCCUUAAGGAAGAAUUGUAUAUGAUGCAGCCGGAAGGUUUUGUCGAUCCUAAGAAUGCUGACAAAGUGUGCAAGCUCCAACGCUCGAUUUAUGGGCUGGUGCAAGCAUCUCGGAGUUGGAACAUUCGCUUUGAUGAGAUGAUCAAAGCAUUUGGGUUUACACAGACUUAUGGAGAAGCCUGCGUUUACAAGAAAGUGAGUGGGAGCUCUGUAGCAUAUCUCAUAUUAUAUGUAGAUGACAUACUUUUGAUGGGAAAUGAUAUAGAACUCUUGGACAGCAUCAAGGCCUACUUGAAUAAAAGUUUUUCAAUGAAGGACCUUGGAGAAGCUGCUUAUAUAUUAGGCAUCAAAAUCUAUAGAGAUAGAUCAAGACGCCUCAUAGGUCUUUCACAAAGCACAUACCUUGAUAAGAUAUUGAAGAAGUUCAAUAUGGAUCAAUCCAAGAAGGGGUUCUUGCCUGUGUUGCAAGGUAUGAAAUUGAGCUCAGCUCAAUGUCCGACCACGGCAGAAGAUAUAGAAGAGAUGAGCGUCAUCCCCUAUGCCUCAGCCAUAGGUUCUAUUAUGUAUGCCAUGCUGUGUACCAGACCUGAUGUAAACCUUGCCGUAAGUUUGGUAGGAAGGUACCAAAGUAAUCCCGGCAAGGAACACUGGACAGCGGUCAAGAAUAUCCUGAAGUACCUAAAAAGGACUAAGGAAAUGUUUCUCGUUUAUGGAGGUGACGAAGAGCUCGUCGUAAAGGGUUACGUCGACGCUAGCUUCGACACAGAUCUGGAUGACUCUAAGUCACAAACCGGAUACGUGUAUAUUUUGAAUGGUGGGGCAGUGAGCUGGUGCAGUUGCAAGCAAAGCGUUGUGGCGGGAUCUACAUGUGAAGUGGAGUACAUGGCAGCCUCGGAGGCAGCACAUGAAGCAAUAUGGGUGAAGGAGUUCAUCACCGACCUAGGAGUCAUACCCAAUGCGUCGGGGCCGAUCAAGCUCUUCUGUGACAACUCUGGAGCUAUUGCACUUGCCAAGGAGCCCAGGUUUCACAAGAAGACAAGGCACAUCAAGCGUCGCUUCAACUCCAUUCGUGAAAAUGUUCAAGAUGGAGACAUAGAGAUUUGUAAAGUACAUACGGACUUGAAUGUAGCAGAUCCGUUGACUAAACCUCUCCCUAGAGCAAAACAUGAUCAACACCAGAAUUCCAUGGGUGUUUGAUUCAUCACAAUGUAACUAGAUUAUUGACUCUAGUGCAAGUGGGAGACUGUUGGAAAUAUGCCCUAGAGGCAAUAAUAAAAGCAUUAUUAUUAUAUUUCCUUGUUCAUGAUAAUUGUCUUUAUUCAUGCUAUAAUUGUGUUAUCCGGAAAUCGUAAUGCAUGUGUGAAUAACAGACACCAACAUGUCCCUAGUGAGCCUCUAGUUGACUAGCUCGUUGAUCAACAGAUAGUCAUGGUUUCCUGACUAUGGACACUGGAUGUCAUUGAUAACGAGAUCACAUCAUUGGGAGAAUGAUGUGAUGGACGAGACCCAAUCCUAAACAUAGCACAAGAUCGUAUAGUUCGUUUGCUAGAGUUUUGCAAUGUCAAAGUAUCUUUUCCUUAGACCAUGAGAUCGUGUAACUCCCGGAUACCGUAGGAGUGCUUUGGGUAUGCCAAACGUCACAACAUAACUGGGUGACUAUAAAGGUAGACUACGGGUAUCUCCGAAAGUGUCUGUUGGGUGACAUGGAUCAAGACUGGGAUUUGUCACUCCGUAUGACGGAGAGGUAUCACUGGGCCCACUCGGUAAUGCAUCAUCAUAAUGAGCUCAGAGUGACCAAGUGUCUGGUCACGGGAUCAUGCAUUACGGUACGAGUAAAGUGACUUGCCGGUAACGAGAUUGAACGAGGUAUUGGGAUACCGACGAUCGAAUCUCGGGCAAGUAACAUAUCGAUAGACAAAGGGAAUAGCGUACGGGGUUGAUUGAAUCCUCGACAUCGUGGUUCAUCAGAUGAGAUCAUCGUGGAGCAUGUGGGAGCCAACAUGGGUAUCCAGAUCCCGCUGUUGGUUAUUGACCGGAGAGUCGUCUCGGUCAUGUCUGCUUGUCUCCCGAACCCGUAGGGUCUACACACUUAAGGUUCGGUUACGCUAGGGUUGUAGGGAUAUGUAUAUGCAGUAACCCGAAUGUUGUUCGGAGUCCCGGAUGAGAUCCCGGACGUCACGAGGAGUUCCGGAAUGGUCCGGAGGUAAAGAUUUAUAUAUGGGAAGUCUUGUUUCGGGCAUCGGGACAAGUUUCGGGGUUAUCGGUAUUGUACCGGGACCACCGUAAGGGUCCCGGGGGUCCACCGGGUGGGUCCACCUGUCCCGGGGGGCCACAUGGGCUAUAAGGGGGUGCGCCUUGGCCUAAUGGGCCAAGGGCACCAGCCCCACAUAGGCCCAUGCGCCUAGGGUUUAAGGGGGCAAGAGUCCUAGGAGGGUAAGGCACCUCCUAGGUGCCUUGGGGGGGAGGGAAACCUCCCCUUGGCCGCCGGCCAUAUGAGAUUGGAUCUCCUAGGCUGCGCACCACCCCCCCUUGGCACCCCUAUAUAUAGUGGGGGAGAGGAGGGACUUCAUACCUGAACGCCUCGGCCUUUGGUUGCCUCCUUCUCCCUCCCCAACACCUCCUCAACCUCCAUAGUGCUUAGCGAAGCUCUGCCGGAGUACUGCAGCUCCAUCAACACCACACCGUCGUGCUACUGCUGGUGCCAUCUCCCUCAACCUCUCCUCCCUCCCUUGCUGGAUCAAGAAGGAGGAGACGUGGCUGUUCCGUACGUGUGUUGAACGCGGAGGUGCCGUCCAUUCGGCGCUGGUCAUCGGUGAUUUGGAUCACGUCGAGUACGACUACAUCAUCACCGUUCUUUUGAACGCUUCCGCUCGCGAUCUACAAAGGUAUGUAGAUGCAUCUAAUCACUCGUUGCUAGAUGAACUCCUAGAUGAUCUUGGUGAAACGAGUAGGAAAAUUUUUGUUUUCUGCAACGUUCCCCAACACCGGAUACCGUAGGAAUGCUUUGGGUGUACCAAACAUCACAAUGUAAAUGGGUGGCUAUAAAGGUGCACUACGGGUAUCUCCGAAAGUGUCUGUUGGGUUGGCACGAAUCGAGACUGGGAUUUGUCACUCCGUGUAACGGAGAGGUAUCUCUGGGCCCACUCGGUAGGACAUCAUCAUAAUGUGCACAAUGUGACCAAGAGGUUGAUCACGGGAUGAUGUGUUACGGAACGAGUAAAGAGACUUACCGGUAACGAGAUUGAACAAGGUAUCGGGAUACCGACGAUCGAAUCUCGGGCAAGUACAAUACCGCUAGACAAAGGGAAUUGUAUACGGGAUCGAUUGAGUCCUUGACAUCGUGGUUCAUCCGAUGAGAUCAUCGUGGAACAUGUGGGAGCCAACAUGGGUAUCCAGAUCCUGCUGUUGUUUAUUGACCGGAGAACGUCUCGGUCAUGUCUGCAUGGUUCCCGAACCCGUAGGGUCUACCCACUUAAGGUUCGAUGACGCUAGGGUUAUAGGGAAUAGAUAUACGUGGUUACCGAAUGUUGUUCGGAGUCCCGUAUGAGAUCCCGGACGUCACGAGAAGUUCCGGAAUGGUCCGGAGGUAAAGAUUUAUAUAUGUGAAGUCCUGUUUUGGUCGCCGGAAAAGUUUCGGGUGCUGUCGGUAACGUACCGGGACCACCGGGAGGGUCCCGGGGGUCCACCAAGUGGGGCCACCGGCCCUAGAGGGCUGCAUGGGCCAAGUGUGGGAGGGGACUAGCCCUAGGUGGGCUGGUGCGCCCCCCCCCCCACAAGGGCCCAAGGCGCCUAGGGUUUGGGGAGGGGGCGCCUCCACCUUACUUGGGGGGCAAGUUUCCCCUCUCCCCCCCCCCUUGGCCGUCACCCUAGAUGGGUUUUUGGGGCAGCCGCCCCCCUUUGGGGGGCGCAGCCCCCUCCCUCUCCCUAUAUAUACUUGAGGUUUUGGGGCUGCCAUACAUAAGAGUUUCCACCUCUCCCUGGCGUAGCCCUACCUCUUUUUCUCCUCGUCUCUCGCGGUGCUUGGCGAAGCCCUGCUGGAUUGCCACACUCCUCCAUCACCACCACGCCGUUGUGCUAAUGCUGGACGGAGUCUUCCUCAACCUCUCCCUCUCUCCUUGCUAGAUCAAGGCAUGGGAGAGGUCACCGGGCUAUACGUGUGUUGAACGCGGAGGUGCCGUCCGUUCGGCACUAGGAUCUCUGGUGAUUUGGAUCACGAUGAGUAUAACUCCUUCAACCCCGUUCUCUUGAACGCUUCCGCUUAGCGAUCUACAAGGGUAUGUAGAUGCACUCUCCUUCUCUCUCGUUGCUAGUCUCUCCAUAGAUAGAUCUUGGUGACUCGUAGGAAAAUUUUGAAUUUCUGCUACGUUCCCCAACAGUGGCAUCAUGAGCUAGGUCUAUUGCAUAGAUUCUUUGCACGAGUAGAACACAAAGUAGUUGUGGGCGUUGAUUUUGUUCAAUAUGCUUACCGUUACUAGUCUUAUCUUGAUUCGGCGGCAUUGUGGGAUGAAGUGGCCCGGACCGACCUUACACGUACUCUUACGUGACACAGGUUCCACCGACUCACAUGCACUUGUUGCAUAAGGUGGCUAGCGGGUGCCAGUCUCUCCCACUUUAGUCGGAUCGGAUUCGAUGAAAAGGGUCCUUAUGAAGGGUAAAUAUCAAUUGGCAUAUCACGUUGUGGCUUUUACGUAGGUAAGAAACGUUCUUGCUAGAAACCCAUAGCAGCCACGUAAAACAUGGAAACAACAAUUAGAGGACGCCUAACUUGUUUUUGCAGGGUAUGCUAUGUGAUGUGAUCUGGCCAAGAAGAAUGUGAUGAAUGAUAUGUGAUGUAUGAGAUUGAUCAUGUUCUUGUAAUAGGAAUCACGACUUGCAUGUCGAUCAGUAUGACAACCGGCAGGAGCCAUAGGAGUUGUCUUAAUUUAUUGUAUGACCUGCGUGUCAUUGAACAACGCCAUGUAAUUACUUUACUUCAUUGCUAACCGGUAGCCAUAGUAGUAGAAGUAAUAGUUGGCGAGACAACUUCAUGAAGACACGAUGAUGGAGAUCAUGAUGAUGGAGAUCAUGGUGUCAUGCUGGUGACGAUGAUGAUCGUGGAGCCCCGAAGAUGGAGAUCAAAAGGAGCAAAAUGAUAUUGGCCAUAUCAUGUCACUUUUUGAUUGCAUGUGAUGUUUAUCAUGUCUAUGCAUCUUAUUUGCUUAGAACGACGGUAGUAAAUAAGAUGAUCCCUCAUUAAAAUUUCAAGAAAGUGUUCCCCCUAACUGUGCACCGUUGCGAAAGUUCGUCGUUUCGAAGCACCACGUGAUGAUCGGGUGUGAUAGAUUCUAACGUUCACAUACAACGGGUGUAAGCCAGAUUUACACACGCGAAACACUUAGGUUAACUUGACGAGCCUAGCAUGUACAGACAUGGCCUCGGAACACAAGAGACCGAAAGGUCGAGCAUGAGUCGUAUAGUAGAUACGAUCAACAUGAAGAUGUUCACCGAUGAUGACUAGUCUGUCUCACAUGAUGAUCGGACACGGCCUAGUUGACUCGGAUCAUGUAAUCACCUAGAUAACUAGAGGGAUGUCUAUCUGAGUGGGAGUUCAUUAGAUGAACUUAAUUAUCCUGAACAUAGUCAAAAGCCCUUUGCAAACUAUGUCAUAGCUCGUGCUUAAGUUCUACUAUUUUAGAUAUGUUCCUGGAGAAAAUAUAGUUGAAAGUUGACAGUAGCAAUUAUGCGGACAGUAGAAGGCUUAUGUCCUUAAUGCACCGCUCGGUGUGCUGGACCUCGAACGUGGUCUGUGGAUGUUGCGAAUAUCUGACAUACACGUUUUGAUGACUACAUGAUAGUUCGGUAAUGUUAAAUGGUUUAGAGUUGAGGCACCGAAGACAUUUUUGAAAUGUCGCAGAACAUAUGAGAUGUUCCAAGAGCUGAAAUUGGGAUUUCAGGCUCGUGCCCACGUCAAGAGGUAUGAGACCUCAGACGAGUUUUCUAGCCUACAAACUAAGGGAGAAGAUCUCAAUCGUUGAGCUUGUACUCAGAUUGUCUGGGUACAAUAAUCACUUGAAUCGAGUGGGAGUUAAUCUUCCAGAUGAGAUAGUGAUGUUUCUCCAAAGACAUUGCCACCAAGCUACUAGAGCUUCGUGAUGAACUAUAACAUAACAGGGAUAGAUAUGAUGAUCCUUGAGAUAUUCGCGAUGUUUGACACCACGAAUGUAGAAAUCAAGAAGGAGCAUCAAUUGUUGAUGGUUAGUGAAACCACUAGUUUCAAGAAGGGCGAGGUCAAGAAGGGGUACUUCAUGAAACGGCAAAUCAGUUGCUGCUCCAGUGAACAAACCCAAGGUUGAACCCAAACCCGAGACUAAGUGCUUCUGUAAUGAGAGGAACGGACACUGAAGCAGAACCACCCUAGAUACUUAGUAGAUAAGAAGGCAGGCAAGGUCGAAAGAAGUAUAUUGGAUAUACAUCGAAUCAAAUGUGUACUUUACUAGUACUCCUAGUAGCACCAGGGUAUUGAGAUACCGGUUCAGUUUCUAAGUGUUAGUAACUCAAAAUAAAAGCUAUGGAAUAAACGGAGACUAGCUAAAGGUGAGCUGACGAUAUGUGUUGAAAGGUUGAUGUGAUCAAGCAUCGCACGCUCCCUCUACCAUCGAGAUUGGUGUUGAACCUAAAUAAUUGUUAUUUGGUAUUUGCGUUGAGCAUAGACAUGAUUGGAUUAUGUCUAUAGCAAUAUGGUUAUUCAUUUAAGGAGAAUAAUGGUUACUCUGUUUAUUUGAAUAAUACCUUUAAUGGUCUUGCACGGUUUAUUGAAUCUCGAUCGUAGUGAUACACAUGUUCAUGCCAAAAGAUAGUAAUGAUAGUACCACUUACUUGUGGCACUGCCAUGUAAGUCAUAUUGGUAUAAAACGCAUGAAGAAGCUCCAUGUUGAUGGAUCUUUGGACUCACUCGUCUUUUGAAAAGUUUGAGACAUGCGAACCAUGUCUAUUGGUGUAUACACAUGAAGAAACUCCAUGCAGAUGGAUCGUUUGGACUCACUUGAUUUUGAAUCACUUGAGAUAUGCAAAUCAUACCACAUGGGCAAGAUGACUGAAAAGCCUCAUUUUCAGUAAGAUGGAACAAGAUAGCAACUUGUUGGAAGUAACACAUUUUGAUGUGUGCAGUCCAAUGAGUGCUGAGGCAUGUAGUGAAUAUCGUUAUGUUCUUACUUCACAGAUGAUUCGAGUAGAUGUUGAGUAUAUUUACUUGAUGAAACACAAGUCUGAAUUAUUGAAUGGUUCAAGUAAUUUCAGAGUGAAGUUGAAGAUCAUCGUGACAAGAGGAUAAAAUGUCUAUGAUAUGAUCAUAGAGAUGAGUAUCUGAGUUAUGAGCUUUGGCACGCAAUUAAGACAUUGUGGAAAUUGUUUCACAAUUAAUACCUCCUGGAACACCAUAGUGUGAUGGUGUGUCCGAACAUCAUAGUUGCACCCUAUUGGAUAUGGUGCGUACCAUGAUGUCUCUUAUCGAAUUACCACUAUCGUUCAUGGGUCAAGCAUUAGAGACAACCACAUUCACUUUAAUCGGGCACCACAUAAUUCCGUAGAGAUGACACCGCAUGAACUAUGGUUUAGAGAAACCUAAGUUGUCGUUUCUUGAAAGUUUGGGGCUGCGACGCUUAUAUGAAAAAGUUUCAUCCUGAUGAGCUCGAACCGAAAGCGGAUAAAUACAUAUUCAUAGGGCACCCAAAACAGUUGGGUAUACCUCCUAUUUCAGAUCCAAAAGCAAAAGGAUUGUUUCUAGAAACGGGUCCUUUCUCGAGGAAAAGUUUCUCUCGAAAGAAUUGAGUGGGAGGAUUGUGGAGACUUGAUGAGGUUGUUGAACCAUCACUUCAACUAGUGUGUAGCAGGGCACAGGAAGUUGUUCCUGUGGCACCUACACCAAUUGAAGUAGAAGCUUAUGAUAGAGAUCAUGAAACUUCGGAUCAAGUCACUACCAAACCUCGUAGGUCGACAAGGAUGCGUACUGCUUCAGAGUGGUACGUAAUCCUGUAUUAGAGGUCAUGUUGCUAGACAACAAUGAACCUACAAGCUAUGGAGAAGCAAUGGCGGGCCCAGAUUCCGACAAAUGGCUCGAGGCCAUAAAAUCCGAGAGAGGAUCCAUGUAUGAGAACAAAGUGUGGACUUUGGAAGAACUGCUUGAUGGUCAUAAGGCUGUUGGGUACAGAUGGAUUUUAAAAGGAAGACAGACAAUGAUGGUAAGUAUUAUCAUUACCAAUCCUGAAAGACGCUAAUAAGUAUGCAAAGCUCCAGCAAUCCUUCUAAGGACUGGAGUAAGCAUCUCGGAGUUGGAAUGUACGCUUUGAUGAGAUGAUCAAAGAUUUUGGGUUUAUACAAAGUUUAUGAGAAACUUGUAUUUCCAAAGAAGUGAGUGGGAGCACUAUAGAAUUUCUGAUAAGUAUAUGUGAAUGACAUAUUGUUGAUCCGAAAUGAUGUAAAAUUUCUGGAAAGCAUAUAGUGUUAUUUGAAAAGUGUUUUUCAAUAGAAAACCUGAAUUAAGCUGCUUGAACAUUGAGCAUCAAGAUCUAUGAGGAUAGAUCAAAACGCUAAAUGGUACUUUCAAAUGAGCACAUACCUUCACAUGAUCUUGAAGGUGUUCAAGAUGGAUCAGUCAAAGAAGGAGUUCUUGCCUGAGUUGUAAGGUAUGAAGUUAAGACUUAAAGCUCGACCACGACAGAAGAAAGAGGAAGGACGGAGGUCGUCCCCUAUGCUUUUGACAUAGGCUCUAUAUGGUAUGCCAUGCUGAGUACCGCACCUGAUGUGUGCCUUGACACAUGUCUGGCAAGAGGGUACAAAGGUGAUCCAGGAGUGGAUCACUAGACAGCGGUCAAAAAAUUGUCCUUGGAGUAAAUAAGGGCAUGUUUCUCGAUUAUGGAGGUGAUAAAGACUUUGGCGUAAAGGGUUACAUCGAUGCAAGCUUUAACACCUAUCUGAAUGACUCUGAGUAGCAAACCGGAUACGUAUAGUGGAGCAACCAUUUGGAAUAGCUCCAAGUGGAGCGUGGAAGCAACAUUUACAAUAUGACCUAGAGAUUUGCGAAGUACAUACGGAUCUGAAUGUUGCAGACCCGUUGACUAAAACCUCUCAACCAAGCAAAACAUGAUCAAAUCCCAGAACUCAUUGAGUCUUAAUCACAUGAUGAUGUGAACUAGUUUAGUGACACUAGUAAACUCUUUGGAUGUUGGUCACAUGGCGAUGUGACCUGUCAGUGUUAAUCACAUGGCGAUGUGAACUAGAUUAUUGACUCUAGUGCAAGUGGGAGACUGUUGGAAAUAUGCCCUAGAGGCAAUAAUAAAUUAGUUAUUAUUAUUAUAUUUCCUUGUUCAUGAUAAUCGUUUAUUAUCCAUGCUAUAAUUGUAUUGAUAGGAAAUUCAGAUACAUGUGUGGGUACAUAAACAACACCAUGUCCCUAGUAAGCCUCUAGUUGACUAGCUCGUUGAUCAAUAGAUGGUUACGAUUUCCUAACCAUGGACAUUGGAUGUCGUUGAUAACGGGAUCACAUCAUUAGGAGAAUGAUGUGAUGGACAAGACCCAAUCCUAAGCCUAGCACAAAAAUCGUGUAGUUCGUAUGCUAAAGCUUUUCUAAUGUCAAGUAUCAUUUCCUUAGACCAUGAGAUUGUGCAACUCCCGGAUACCGUAGGAAUGCUUUGGGUGUACCAAACGUCACAACGUAAAUGGGUGGCUAUAAAGGUGCACUACGGGUAUCUCCGAAAGUGUCUGUUGGGUUGGCACAAAUCGAGACUGGGAUUAGUCACUCCGUGUAACGGAGAGGUAUCUCUGGGCCCACUCGGUAGGACAUCAUCAUAAUGUGCACAAUGUGACCAAGGGGUUGAUCACGGGAUGAUGUGUUAUGGAACGAGUAAAGAGACUUACCGGUAACGAGAUUGAACAAGGUAUCGGGAUAACGACGAUCGAAUCUCGGGCAAGUACAAUACCGCUAGACAAAGGGAAUUGUAUAUGGGAUCGAUUGAGUCCUUUACAUCGUGGUUCAUCCGAUGAGAUCAUCGUGGAACAUGUGGGAGCCAACAUGGGUAUCCAGAUCCCGCUGUUGGUUAUUGACCGGAGAACGUCUCGGUCAUGUCUGCAUGGUUCCCGAACCCGUAGGGUCUACACACUUAAGGUUCGAUGACGCUAGGGUUAUAGGGAAUAGAUAUACGUGGUUACCGAAUGUUGUUCAGAGUCCCGUAUGAGAUCCCGGACGUCACGAGAAGUUCCGGAAUGGUCCGGAGGUAAAGAUUUAUAUAUGUGAAGUCCUGUUUUGGUCGCUGGAAAAGUUUCGGGUGCUGUCGGUAACGUACCGGGACCACCGGGAUGGUCCCGGGGGUCCACCAAGUGGGGCCACCGGCCCCAGAGGGCUGCAUGGGCCAAGUGUGGGAGGGGACCAGCCCCNNNNNNNNNNNNNNNNNNNNNNNNNNNNNNNNNNNNNNNNNNNNNNNNNNNNNNNNNNNNNNNNNNNNNNNNNNNNNNNNNNNNNNNNNNNNNNNNNNNNNNNNNNNNNNNNNNNNNNNNNNNNNNNNNNNNNNNNNNNNNNNNNNNNNNNNNNNNNNNNNNNNNNNNNNNNNNNNNNNNNNNNNNNNNNNNNNNNNNNNNNNNNNNNNNNNNNNNNNNNNNNNNNNNNNNNNNNNNNNNNNNNNNNNNNNNNNNNNNNNNCCCCCCCACAAGGGCCCAAGGCGCCUAGGGUUUGGGGAGGGGGCGCCUCCACCUUACUUGGGGGGCAAGUUUCCCCUCUCCCCCCCCCUUGGCCGCCACCCUAGAUGGGUUUUUGGGGCAGACGCACCCCUUGGGGUGGGAACCCUAGGGGGGCGCAGCCCCCUCCCUCUCCCCUACAUAUACUUGAGGUUUUGGGGCUGCCAUACACAAGAGUUUCCACCUCUCCCUGGCGCAGCCCUACCUCUCUUUCUCCUCGUCUCUCGCGGUGCUUGGUGAAGCCCUGCUGGAUUGCCACGCUCCUCCAUCACCACCACGCCGUUGUGCUGCUGCUGGACGGAGUCUUCUUCAACCUCUACCUCUCUCCUUGCUGGAUCAAGGCAUGGGAGACGUCACCGGGCUGUACGUGUGUUGAACGCGGAGGUGCCGUCCGUUCGGCACUAGGAUCUCCGGUGAUUUGGAUCACGACGAGUAUGACUCCUUCAACCCCAUUCUCUUGAACGCUUACGCUUAGCGAUCUACAAGGGUAUGUAGAUGCACUUUCCUUCUCUCUCGUUGCUAGUCUCUCCAUAGAUAGAUCUUGGUGACUCGUAGGAAAAUUUUGAAUUUCUGCUACGUUCCCCAACAUGGCUUGCCCCCCAAGCCAGGUGGAGGCGCCCCCACCACUAGGGUUUCCCAAGCCUAGGCGCGGGGGGGGGCCCAAGGGGGGCGCACCAGCCCACCAGGGGCUGGUUCCCCUCCCACUUCAGCCCAUGGGACCCUCCGGGAUAGGUGGACCCACCCGGUGGACCCCCGGGACCCUUUCGGUGGUCCCGGUACAAUACCGGUGACCCCCGAAACUUUCCCGAUGGCCGAAACCUGACUUCCUAUAUAUAAUUCUUUACUUCCGGAUCAUUUCGGAACUCCUCGCGACGUCCGGGAUCUUAUCCGGGACUUCGAAAAACUUUCGGGUUACUGCAUACUCAUAUCUCUACAACCCUAGCAUCACCGAACCUUAAGUGUGUAGACCCUACGGGUUUGGGAGACACGUAGACAUGACCGAGAUGACUCUCCGGUCAAUAACCAACAGCGGGAUCUGGUUACCCAUGUUGGCUCCCACAUGCUCCUCGAUGAUCUCAUCAGAUGAACCACGAUGUCGAGGAUUCAAGCAACCCCGUAUACAAUUCCCUUUGUCAAUCGGUAUGUUACUUGCCCGAGAUUCGAUCGUCAGUAUCCCAAUACCUUAUUCAAUCUCGUUACCGGCAAGUCACUUUACUCAUACCGUAAUGCAUGAUCCCGUGACCAAACACUUGGUCACUUUGAGCUCAUUAUGAUGAUGCAUUACCGAGUGGGCCCAGAGAUACCUCUCCGUCAUACGGAGUGACAAAUCCCAGUCUCGAUCCGUGUCAACCCAACAAACACUUUCGGAGAUACCCGUAGUAUACCUUUAUAGUCACCCAGUUACGUUGUGACGUUUGGUACACCCAAAGCACUCCUACGGUGUCCGGGAGUUACACGAUCUCAUGGUCUAAGGAAAAGAUACUUGACAUUGGAAAAGCUCUAGCAAACGAACUACACGAUCUUGUUCUAUGCUUAGGAUUGGGUCUUGUCCAUCACAUCAUUCUCCUAAUGAUGUGAUCCCGUUAUCAACGACAUCCAAUGUCCAUAGUCAGGAAACCAUGACUAUCAGUUGAUCAACGAGCUAGUCAACUAGAGGCUUACUAGGGACAUGUUGUGGUCUAUGUAGUCACACAUGUAUUACGAUUUCCGGAUAACACAAUUAUAGCAUGAAUAAUAGACGAUUAUCAUGAACAAUGAAAUAUAAUAAUAAUCUUUUAUUAUUGCCUCUAGGGCAUAUUUCCAACAGUCUCCCACUUGCACUAGAGUCAAUAAUCAAGUUACAUUAUGAUGAAUCGAACACCCAUAGAGUUCUGGUGUUGAUCAUGUUUUGCUCGCGAAGAGGUUUAGUCAACGAAUCUGCGAUAUUCAAAUCCGUAUGCACCUUGCAAAUAUCUAUGUCUCCAUCUUGAACAUUUUCACGGAUGGAGUUGAAACGACGCUUGAUGUGCCUGGUCUUCUUGUGAAACCUGGGCUCCUUGGCAAGGGCAAUAGCUCCAGUGUUGUCACAGAAGAGAGUGAUCGGCCCCGACGCAUUGGGUAUGACUCCUAGGUCGGUGAUGAACUCCUUCAUCCAUAUUGCUUCAUGCGCUGCCUCCGAGGCUGCCAUGUACUCCGCUUCACAUGUAGAUCCCAUCACGACGCUCUGCUUGCAGCUGCACCAGCUUACUGCUCCACCAUUCAACAUAUACACGUAUCCGGUUUGUGACUUAGAGUCAUCCAGAUCUGUGUCGAAGCUAGCGUCGACGUAACCCUUUACGACGAGCUCUUCGUCACCUCCAUAAACGAGAAACAUAUCCUUAGUCCUUUUCAGGUACUUCAGGAUAUUCUUGACCGAUGUCCAGUGUUCCUUGCCGGGAUUACUUUGGUACUUUCCUACCAAACUUACGGCAAGGCUUACAUCAGGUCUGGCACACAGCUUGGCAUACAUAAUAGACCCUAUGGCUGAGGCACAGGGGAUGAAACUCAUCUCUUAUAUAUCUUCUGCCGUGGUCGGGCAUUGAGCCGAGCUCAAUCUCACACCUUGCAAUAUAGGCAAGUACCCUUUCUUGGACUGAUCCAUAUUGAACUUCUUCAAUAUCUUAUCAAGGUAUGUGCUUUGUGAAAGACCUAUGAGGUGUCUUGAUCUAUCCCUAUAGAUCUUGAUGCCUAAUAUGUAAGCAGCUUCCCCAAGGUCCUUCAUUGAAAAACACUUAUUCAACUAGGCCUUAAUGUUGUCCAAAAGUUCUAUAUCAUUUCCCAUCAAAAGUAUGUCAUCUACAUAUAAUACGAGAAAUGCUACAGAGCUCCCACUCACUUUCUUGUAAACUCGGGCUUCUCCAUAAGUCUGCAUAAACCCAAACGCUUUGAUCAUCUCAUCAAAGUGAAUGUUCCAACUCCGAGAUGCUUGCACCAGCCCAUAAAUGGAUCAUUGGAGCUUGCAUACCUUGUUAGCAUUCUUAGGGUCGACAAAACCUUCCGGCUGCAUCAUAUACAGUUCUUCCUUAAGAUAGCCAUUAAGGAAUGCCGUUUUGACGUCCAUCUGCCAUAUCUCAUAAUCAUAGUAUGCGGCAAUUGCUAACAUGAUUAGGACGGACUUCAGCUUCGCUACGGGAGAUAAAGUCUCAUCGUAGUCAACCCCUUGAACUUGCCGAUAACACUUAGCGACAAGUCGAGCUUUAUAGAUGGUAACAGUACCAUCCGCGUCCGUCUUUUUCUUAAAGAUCCAUUUGUUUUCUAUCGCUCGCCGAUCAUCGGGCAAGUCUGUCAAAGUCCAUACUUUGUUUUCAUACAUGGAUCCUAUCUCGAAUUGCAUGGCUUCAAGCCAUUUGUUGGAAUCUGGGCCCGUCAUGGCUUCUUCAUAGUUCGAAGGUUCACCGUUGUCUAACAACAUGAUUUCCAGGACAGGGUUGCCAUACCACUCUGGUGUGGAACGUGUCCUUGUGGACCUACGAAGUUCAGUAGCAACUUGAUCCGAAGUACCUUGAUCAUCAACAUUAAUUUCCUCUCCAGUCGGUGUGGGCACCACAGGAACACUUUCCUGAGCUGCACCACUUUCCGGUUCAAGAGGUAGUACUUCAUCGAGUUCUACUUUCCUCCCACUUACUCCUUUCAAGAGAAACUCUUUAUCCAGAAAGGAUCCGUUCUUGGCAACAAAGAUCUUGCCUUCGGAUCUAAGGUAGAAGGUAUACCCAAUGGUUUCCUUGGGGUAUCCUAUGAAGACGCAUUUUUCCGACUUGGGUUCAAGCUUUUCAGGUUGAAGUUUAUUGACAUAAGCAUCGCAUCCUCAAACUUUUAGAAACAACAACUUAGAUUUCUUCCCAAACCAUAAUUCAUACGGUGUCGUCUCAACGGAUUUAGACGGUGCCCUAUCUAAAGUGAAUGUAGCUGUCUCUAGAGCGUAUCCCCAAAAUGAUAGCGGUAAAUCGGUAAGAGACAUCAUAGACCGCACCAUAUCCAAUAAAGUGCGAUUAUGACAUUCGGACACACCGUUGCGCUGAGGUGUUCCAGGCGGCGUGAGUUGUGAAACGAUUCCACAUUUCCUUAAGUGCGUACCAAAUUCAUGACUUAAAUAUUCUCCUCCACGAUCUGAUCCUAAGAACUUUAUUUUUCGGUCACGAUGAUUCUCUACCUCAUUCUGAAAUUCCUUGAACUUUUCAAAGGUCUUAGACUUGUUUUUCAUCAAGUAGACAUACCCAUAUCUACUUAAGUCAUCAGUGAGAGUGAGAACAUAACGAUAUCCUCCGCGAGCCUCAACGCUCAUUGGACCGCACACAUCAGUAUGUAUGAUUUCCAAUAAGUUGGUUGCUCGCUCCAUUGUUCCGGAGAACGGAGUCUUGGUCAUUUUGCCCAUGAGGCAUGGUUCGCAUGUGUCAAAUGAUUCAUAAUCGAGAGACUCUAAAAGUCCAUCAGCAUGGAGCUUCUUCAUGCGCUUGACACCAAUGUGACCAAGGCUGCAGUGCCACAAGUAUGUGGGACUAUCGUUAUCAACCUUACAUCUUUUGGUAUUCACACUAUGAAUAUGUGUAACAUUACGUUCGAUAUUCAUUAAGAACAAACCAUUGACCAGCGGGGCAUGACCAUAAAACAUAUCUCUCAUAUAAAUAGAACAACCAUUAUUCUCGGAUUUAAAUGAGUAGCCAUCUCGCAUUAAACGAGAUCCAGAUACAAUGUUCAUGCUCAAAGCUGGCACUAAAUAACAAUUAUUGAGGUUUAAAACUAAUCCCAUAGGUAAAUGUAGAGGUAGCGUGCUGAUGGCGAUCACAUCGACCUUGGAACCAUUCCCGACGCGCAUCGUCACCUCGUCCUUCGCCAGUCUCCGCUUAUUCCGCAGCUCCUGUCUUGAGUUACAAAUAUGAGCAACGACACCGGUAUCAAAUACCCAGGAGCUACUACGAGCACUGGUAAGGUACACAUCAAUUACAUGUAUAUCACAUAUACCUUUAGUGUUGCCGGCCUUCUUGUCUGCUAAGUAUUUGGGGCAGUUCCGCUUCCAGUGAUCCUUCCUUUUGCAAUAAAAGCGCUCAGUCUCAGGCUUGGGUCCAUUCUUUGACUUCUUCCCGGCAACUGGCUUACCGGGGGCGGCAACUUCCUUGUCGGCCUUCUUGAAGUUCUUCUUACCCUUGCCCUUCUUGAACUUAGUGGUUUUAUUGACCAUCAACACUUGAUGUUCCUUUUUGAUUUCUACCUCUGCUGAUUUCAGCAUUGAAAAUACUUCAGGAAUAGUUUUCUCCAUUCCUUGCAUAUUGUAGUUCAUCACAAAGCUCUUGUAGCUUGGUGGAAGCGACUGAAGGAUUCUGUCAAUGACCGCCUCGUCCGGGAGGUUAAUGUCCAGCUGGGACAAGCGGUUGUGCAACCCAGACAUUUUGAGUAUGUACUCACUGACAGAACUGUUUUCCUCCAUCUUACAACUAUAGAACUUGUCGGAGACUUCAUAUCUCUCGACCCGGGCAUGAGCUUGGAAAACCAUUUUCAGAUCCUCGAACAUCUCAUAUGCUUCGUGUUGCUCAAAAUGCUUUUGGAGCCCGGUUCUAGGUUGUAAAGCAUGCCGCACUGAACGAGGGAGUAAUCAUCAGCACGUGACUGCCAAACGUUCAUAAUGUCUUGGUUCUCUAGGAUGGGUGCUUCACCUAGUGGUCCUUCUAGGACAUAUGCUUUCUUGGCAGCUAUGAGGAUGAUCCUCAGGUUCCAGACCCAGUCCGUAUAGUUGCUGCCAUCAUCUUUCAGCUUGGUUUUCUCUAGGAACGCGUUGAAGUUCAUGUUGACAUGAGCGUUGGCCAUUUGAUGUACAAGACAUUUAUGCAAAGGUUUUUAGACUAAGUUCAUGAUAACUAAGUUCAUCUAAUCAAAUUAUUUAAUGAACUCCCACUCAGAUUAGACAUCCCUCUAGUCAUCUAAGUGAUACAUGAUCCGAGUCAACUAGGCUGUGUGCGAUCAUCACGUGAGACGGACUAGUCAUCAUCGGUGAACAUCUCCAUGUUGAUCGUAUCUUCCAUACGACUCAUGUUCGACCUUUCGGUCUCUGUGUUCCGAGGCCAUGUAUGUACAUGCUAGGCUCAUCAAGUUAACCUAAGUGUUUUGCAUGUGUAAAUAUGUCUUACACCCGUUGAAUGUGGACGUUGGAAUCUAUCACACCCGAUCAUCACAUGGUGCUUCGAAACAACAAGCUUUCGCAACGACACACAGUUAGGGGGAACACUUUCUUGAAAUUAUUAUGAGGGAUCAUCUUAUUUACUACCGUCGUUCUAAGUAAACAAGAUGCAUAAACAUGAUAAAGAUCACAUGCAAUCAAAUAAUAGUGACAUGAUAUGGCCAAUAUCAUAUAGCUCCUUUGAUCUCCAUCUUCGGGACGCCAUGAUCAUCUUCGUCACCGGCAUGACACCAUGAUCUCCAUCAUCAUGAUCUCCAUCAUUGUGUCUCCAUGAAGUUGCUCGCCAAAUAUUACUUCUACUUACUAUGGCUAACGGUUUAGCAAUAAAGUAAAGUAAUUACAUGGCAUUGAAUCAUUGACACGCAGGUCAUACAAUAAUUAAGACAACUCCUAUGGCUCCUGCCGGUUGUCAUACUCAUCGACAUGCAAGUCGUGAUUCCUAUUACAAGAACAUGAUCUCAUACAUCACAUAUAUAUCAUUCAUCACAACUUUUGGCCAUAUCACAUCACAAAGCAAUUGCUGCAAAAACAAGUUAGACGUCCUCUAAUUGUUGUUGCAUGUUUUACGUGGCUGCAAUAGGGUUCUAGCAAGAACGUUUUCUUACCUACAUGAAAGCCACAACAUGAUUUGUCAAAUUCUAUUUACCCUUCAUAAGGACCCUUUUCAUCGAAUCCGCUCUAACUAAAGUGGGAUAGACAGACACGCGCUAGCCACCUUAUGCAACUAGUGCAUGUCAGUCGGUGGAACCUGUCUCACGUAAGCGUACGUGUAAGGUCGGUCCGGGCCACUUCAUCCCACAAUACCGCUGAAGCAAAAUAAUACUAGUAGUGGCAAGAAAGUUGACAACAUCUACGCCCACAACAAGUUUGUGUUCUACUCGUGCAAAGAGAACUACGCAUAGACCUAGCUCUGAUACCACUAUUGGGGAAUGUUGCAGAAAAUAAAAAAUUUCCUACGGUUUCACCAAGAUCAAUCUAUGAGUUCAACUAGCAACGAGUGAGAGGAGUGCAUCUACAUACCCUUGUAGAUCGAGAAGAAGCGUUCAAGAGAACGGGGUUGAGGGAGUCGUACUCGUCAUGAUCCAAAUCACCGAUGAUCCUAGUGCUGAACGGACAGUACCUCCACGUUCAACACACGUACGGUUGGGGAAGACGUCUCCUCCUUCUUGAUCCAGCAAGGGGGAAGGAGAGGUUGAUGGAGAUCCAGCAGCACGACGGCAUGGUGGUGGAUGCAGCGGCGAUCUCGGCAGGGCUUCGCCAAGCGUCUGCGAGAGGGAGAGGUGUAGCAGAGGGAGAUGGAGGCGCCAAGAGCAUGGGUGCGGCUGCCCUCCAUCCCCCCUCUUUAUAUAGGGCCCCUAGGGGGGCGCCGGCCCUAGGAGAUGGGAUCUCCAAGGGGGGCGGCUACCAAGGGGGUGGCUUGCCCCCCAAGCCAGGUGGAGGCGCCCCCUCCCCUAGGGUUUCCCAACCCUAGGCGCAGGGGGGCCAAGGGGGUGCACCAGCCCACCAGGGGCUGGUUCCCCUCCCACUUCAGCCCAUGGGGCCCUCCAGGAUAGGUGGACACACCCGGUGGACCCCCGGGACCCUUCCGAUGGUCCCGAUACGAUAUCGGUGACCCCCGGAACUUUCCCGAUGGCCGAAACCUGACUUCCUAUAUAUAAUUCUUUACCUCUGGACCAUUCCGGAACUCCUCGUGAUGUCCGGGAUCUCAUUCGGGACUCCGAACAUCUUUCGGGUUACUGCAUACUCAUAUCUCUACAACCCUAGCAUCACCGAACCUUAAGUGUGUAGACCCUACGGGUUCGGGAGACACGUAGACAUGACCGAGACGACUCUCCGGUCAAUAACCAACAGCGGGAUCUGGAUACCCAUGUUGGCUCCCACAUGCUCCUCGACGAUCUCAUCGGACGAACCACGAUGUCGAGGAUUCAAGCAACCCCGUAUACAAUUCCCUUUGUCAAUCGGUACGUUACUUGCCCGAGAUUCGAUCGUCGGUAUCACAAUACCUUGUUCAAUCUCGUUACCGGCAAGUCACUUUACUCGUACCGUAAUGCAUGAUCCCGUGACAAAACACUUGGUCACUUUGAGCUCAUUAUGAUGAUGCAUUACCGAGUGGGCCCAGAGAUACCUCUCCAUCAUACGGAGUGACAAAUCCUAGUCUCGAUCCGUGUCAACCCAACAAACACUUUCAGAGAUACCCGUAGUAUACCUUUAUAGUCACCCAGUUAUGUUGUGACGUUUGGUACACCCAAAGCACUCCUACGGUGUCCGGGAGUUACACGAUCUCAUGGUCUAAGGAAAAGAUACUUGACAUUGGAAAAGCUCUAGCAAACGAACUACACGAUCUUGUGCUAUUCUUAGGAUUGGGUCUUGUCCAUCACAUCAUUCUCCUAAUGAUGUGAUCCCGUUAUCAACGACAUCCAAUGUCCAUAGUCUGGAAACCAUGACUAUCAGUUGAUCAACGAGCUAGUCAACUAGAGGCUUACUAGGGACAUGUAGUGGGCUAUGUAUUCACACAUGCAUUACGAUUUCCGGAUAACACAAUUAUAGCAUGAAUAAUAGACGAUUAUCAUGAACAAUGAAAUAUAAUAAUAAUCUUUUAUUAUUGCCUCUAGGGCAUAUUUCCAACACCUAAGUGGUGAUUUAUUUUCCUAUACUAACGGAGCUUACGAGUUUUCUGUUGAGUUUUGUGUUGUGAAGUUUUCAAGUUUUGGGUAAAGAUUCGAUGGACUAUGGAAUAAGGAGUAGCAAGAGCCUAAGAUUGGGGAUGCCCAAGGCACCCCAAAGUAAUAUUCAAGGACAACCAAGAGCCUAAGCUUGGGAUGCCCCGGAUGGUAUCCCCUCUUUCGUCUUUGUUCAUCGGUAACUUUACUUGGAGCUAUAUUUUUAUUCACCACAUGAUAUGUGUUUUGCUUGGAGCGUCAUUUUUUUGUUAGUAUUUGCUUGCUGUUAUUUAGAAUAAUGUUUUUCAUCUAUAUUUUCAAUAAAAAUGUCAAGGAUAGCCUUUACCAUGCUUAUUUUACAAGUAUACAUGUUGCUGUUUCAAAACAGAAAGUUUACCAUUGUUGCAAAAUUCCCUAGAAAAGUCGGAAAAUGAUAAAAUGUUGAAACUAGUUGCCUAUUGAUCUCUGAUAAAUCUUCUAUAUUGUGGUAGACUUUCAUGAUUUUUGGAGUUAGGGAAGUAUGAUGAAUCUUGCAUUCUUUACAGACUGUACUGUUUUGACAGAUUGUUGUUAUGUUUGCAUAUGUUUGCUUGUUUAAUGAUUCUAUUUGAGGAUAGGAUUAUUAAAUAUAUAGAGACAUUUAGUAUGCAAUGUUGAAUAAUAAGUUUUGUGAUUUGUUACAGUAGAACAUGAUAUGGUUUUUGCAUUGGUUUAUACUAACUUAUCUCAUGAGUUCUUGUUGAGUUUGGUGUGGAUGAAGCUUUUGAGAUUUAUGAAACCGAGAUAUAAAAGGAAUUAAGGAGACACAAAGGCUCAAGCUUGGGGAUGUCCAAGGCACCCCAAGAUAAUAUUUCAAGAAGUCUCAAGCAUCCAAGCUUGGGGAUGCCCCAUUAGGCAUCCCACCUUUCUUCUUCAACAACUAUCGGUUAGUAUCAGUUGAACCUAAGUUUUUGCUUCUUCACAUGAUGUGUGCUAUCCUUGAAAUGUCAUUUUCUUUUGUGUUGCUUGCUGCUUGAAUAAAAUACCAAGAUCUGAAAUUCUUAAAUGUUAGAGAGUCUUCACAUAGUUGCACACUUAUUUGACUACUCAUUGAUCUUCACUUAUAUCUUUUGCAGUAGUUUGUCUUUUGCUCUAGUGCUUCACUUAUAUCUUUUUAGAGCACGGCGGUGGUUUUAUUUUGUAUAAAUUAUUGAUCUCUCAUGCUUCACUUAUAUUAUUUUGAAAGUCUUUUAGAACAGCAUGGUAUUUGCUUUGGUUAUAAAAUUGGUCCUAAUAUGAUGGGCAUCCAAGAUAGGUAUAAUAAAAACUAUCAUAUAGAGUGCAUUAAACACUAUGAUCAAUUUGAUACUUGAUAAUUGUUUUGAGAUAUAAAGGUGGUAAUGUUAGAGUCAUUCUAGUUGGGUAAUUAUGAAAUUGAGAAAUACUUGUGUUAAAGUUGGCAAGUCCCGUAGCAUGCACGUAUCGUGAACGUUGUGUGACAAAUUUGAAGCAUGGGGUGUUCUUUGAUUGCCUUCCUUAUGAGUGGAGGUCGGGAUAUCGCGAUGGUUAACUCCUACCAACCCUUCCCCUACGAGCAUGCGCAGUAGUACUUUGCUUCGAGGGCUAAUAAACUUUUGCAAUAAGUAUAUGAGUUCUUUAUGACUAAUGUGAGUCCAUGGAUUAUACGCACUCUUAGCCUUCCACAAUUUGCUAGCCUCUACGGUACCGUGCAUUUCCCUUUCUCACCUUGAGAGUUGGUGCAAACUUCGCCAGUGCAUCCAAACCCCGUGAUACGAUACGCUCUAUCACACAUAAACCUCCUUAUGUCUUCCUCAAAACAGACACCAUACCUACCUAUUAUGGCAUUUCCAUAACCAUUCCGAGAUAUAUUGCCAUGCAACUUUCCGUCGUUCCGUUUAUUAUGACACGCUCCAUCAUUGUCAUAUUGCUUUUUUUGCAUGAUCAUGUAGUUGACAUCGUAUUUGUGGCAAACCACCUUUAUAAUUCUUUCAUACAUGUCGCUCUUGAUUCAUUGCAUAUCCCGGUACACCGCCGGAGGCAUUCACAUAGAGUCAUAUUUUGUCCUAAGUAUUGAGUUGUAAUUCUUGAGUUGUAAAUAAAUAAAAGUGUGAUGAUCUUCAUUAUUAGAGCAUUGUCCCAAGUGAGGAAAGGAUGAUGGAGACUAUGAUCCCCCCACAAGUCGGGAUGAGACUCUGGACUUUAUGAAAAAUAAAAGAGGCCAAAGAAGUCCAAAUAAAAAAAGGACAAAGAAGCCCACCAAAAUAAAAAAAAUGAGAGAAAAAGAGAGAAGGGACAAUGUUAGUAUCCUUUUUCCAAACUUAUGCUCCAAAGUAGCACCAUGAUCUUCAUGAUAGAGAGUCUCCUUGUUGUCACUUUCAGAUACUAGUGGGAAUUUUUCAUUAUAGAACUCGGCUUGUAUAUUCCAAUGAUGGGCUUCCUCAAAAUGCCCUAGGUCUUCGUGAGGAAGCAAGUUCGAUGCACACCCACUUAGUUUCUUUUGUUGAGCUUUCAUACAUUUAUAGCUCCAGUGCAUCCGUUGCAUGGCAAUCCCUACUCCUCAUAUUGACAUCAAUUGAUGGGCAUCUCCAUAGCCCAUUGAUUAGCCGCGUCAAUGUGAGACUUUCUUUGUUUUCGUCUUCUCACACAAUCCCUAUCAUCAUACUCUACUCCACCCAUAGUGUUAUAUCCAUGGCUUACGCUCAUGUAUUGCGUGAGGGUUGAAAAAGCUGAAGCGCAUUAAAAAUAUGAACCAAUUGUUUGGCUGAAACCGGGGUUGUGCAUGAUGGGAGUAUUUUGUGUGACGAAAAUGAAGCAUGGCCAAACUAUAUGAUUUUGUAGGGAUAAGCUUUUUUUGGCUAUGAAAUAGAUAGUAGGGAAGAAAACAGGGCAUGAAAUAAUUCACAUUUAUGUUGUCUAACCAAACAGAAUAGCGGGACAUAAUUUCACAUAUAUGAUGGCUAAUUAAACAGGAUAGCAUGACACAAUUUCACAUGUAUGAUGGCUAACUAAACAGGAUAGAAUGACAUACUUCAAAAUAUGAUGACUAUGUAAACAUGAUGACAUGAUAUAACUAUAUGAUGUGUCUAUUAAAGUGGUUGGCAUGCCAUAAAUCACAAACAUGCCAUCGAUGAAAACAUGAUGGCAUGAUAUAAUUCACGGAUAGAAUGACAUAAUUUAAAAUAUGAUGACUAUGUAAACAGGAUGACAUGAUAUAACUAUAUUAUGUCUUUAGAAAAUGCGUUGGCAUGCCAUAAUUCAGAUAAUUGUUGUCUAUGUAAACAGCAUGUGAUAUAAUUCAAAUAUAUGAUUUAUAUACUAAGGAAGUGAGCAGAGGGCAAUCACAUAUAUGAUGUGUCAACUAAGGAGAUGGCAUUCAAUAUUGUGUAUAUGAUGUAAAAACUAAGCAUUGCAAUACAACAUAUACAUGAUAUGAGUAAUAUAACCCUGCCAAGUUUGAGCAUACACCUUAGGGGAAUAAUAUGACUGGACAUCUGCCUCUGAAUCCUCCUCUGAAGAGCUAUAUGAAACCAGCAAGAUAUCUGCUUCAGCAGGUAGCAUUGUCUGCUCUAAAGACCUUGUUUUCAAUCCAGAUUUCUCCUUCACCAAUUCAAAUGGCUGAUGCACAGGAAGUGCGGUUGAAUAUACAAACAUUAUCGACAAAAGCAAUGAGAAAUACAAAAAAAGGACGGCAUGAUAUAAUUCACAUAUAUGACGCUUGGCUAAACAGCAUGGCAUUGCAUAAUUCACAUAUAUAAUGCCUUGCAACAAGAUAACACUGCACAAUUCAUAUAUAUAAUGUCUUGCAACAAGAUGGCAUUACAUAAUUCGCAUAUAUGGUAAUUAGACACUAAAGAGGUGGCAUUCACACAAAGAAUGUCUAAACUAAGCAAAUAACAUAGCAAUGCAAGAUACCAUACGCACGAUAUGCACGUAUAUAUGAUGUACAAAGAUGGGCCACGACCUCAACUAUACAAGAAACUAGGAGGUGGGCCAGAUACACAAAUAUAAACAAAUAUGCACAUAACAUAUAUUGUACUAGUAGUACUUCAUCGUUUUGGAACACCGGCGUCUGCAGGUCGGUUAGUGAGACCGGAUCUUUUUGCUCUGAAGUGGGGGGGUUCAUGAGGCAUAUCCGGACCUCCUACCGCAGUCCAAAUCAAGAAACAUUUCAGUAACAUAUUGAUGUCUCUGGAUUUAGAAAUACCUAAGUUCCUGCUUGGAAUGGGUGUAACUUUUUACACCUGUAUUUAUUUUACAAGUGUAAAUUACAGAUGAACACUUGAAACCUGCCUGGAAUCAAAACGACGGGAUGAGCUCCGUAUUUUAUACCGGCCAGAAACAAGGAGAAACGCUAAUCCAAACGCGACCUAAAGCAAGAAUUACAUUGAACUUCAAAUAAGAAACACGGACUUUCCUUAUUCAAAAUGGAAGUAAUUUCCAACGGAAAUAACAGCCCUACAAAUUCAAAUAAGAAACACCAAGGAAAAAAAGCUAAAGGGUGGCGGUCGGCACCGCGCCAAGCGUCCAAAGUCCUAAGUCUAAGUCGCGCAUAUAUUCGCGAGCGCACGCGCUAUAUAUGUACAUCUCUAUGUGUGCCCAUAGCACAACCUUCUUCUCAUUAUGUGGUUCUAGCAUUUUGUACACAAAUGAAAGUCACCCUUAUAAGUUGGUCCGCCCACCCUUGGCUCACCGAGGUGGGACUAAACUUUUGUUCCAUGUAGAGAUACUACUGGUUCUGUGUAGGCUCAGACAUGGAAUAGGUGGGCUAAAAUACAAAUGAUGCAUACGGUCUUGGGCUUCAUGCAACCAGAUGGGAAGAAUUGUUGAAUGCGAUGGGUUCCAUUAAAAUUGCUCUAGUUUCAUAACAUAAGCUAAACGUGAGACCACCUGAUGUCUACAUCCCCUAAAAAAAGAUAUACAAGCCAAAAAAGUUAUCAAAAAAAUGACACUAUAAUUUAUUACAGAAAUUUUGAGAAUAGAUAGGUCAUUGAUCGAUGCUGAAAAUUUCAUUGGUUAUUUUUUUAACAGUACAUAAGAUGCAUUUAAAUUUCUUUGCUUUAAACUAUUUUUACACACAUACCACCAGAUAUCUAUUAUAUAAGGAGGAAGAAUGUACCUGCUGUUAUUAAGAUAUUAACAUGUUGAAUGGUGCACCCGACCCAUAUAAAUGUCAAUUCCGAUAUUGUACCCUAAGCAUACAAAAAUACUAAUCGAUCCAAUCUAGUACUCCCUCCGUCCUAUAAAAUAAGAGCGUUAUUUAUCAUCAACGUUUUUUUACAUCACCCUAGUGUUAAAAAUGUUCUUAUAUUAUGGCCUAUGGGGCAGAGGAAGUAUAUCAGAGGCAUGUGUUCAAACCAAAAAGGCAUCUUCAACAUAUCAAUUCCACUGAAUAUCACAUUCUCAAAAGGCCAUGAAAAUUCUUUAGUGAGGGAGUUCCAGGAUACGCGUGUGCAUGUACCCCAACAAGAAAAUGUAUCUUCAACUUAUCACUUCUUCAUUAUAAACCACCCGAGAGUGCUUAAUUGCGUAGGUAUCCAGGAUCUCGAUGCGACUGCGAGAAAAUGAAUGGCCAGAUGACAAAAACUGGCAGCAUGUAAAGAUUUAUCAUCUGAGUUGCAUGUUUCCAAGGCACAUCAAUAUGGUCAACAAUGAUCCAGAAAAUUAAGAGCUCAUGAUAAACAAUGACAAAAGCAUAUACAUAAAUCAUGGUCAUCCCAAUAUAUAUCAAGGUCUAAGGCAUCUUUACAUGUCACUCUUGCUAAAGAACCCAUUGCAUUGCAAAGCCCAUGGUUGGGGACAACAUACAUAAACAAGGAACCUCCAACAGUUGGGUAACCACAACUAACCAGCAAAAAAUCGACCAAAGCGAAGCUACCAGGCAACAAACGUCCCAAGAAUACAGGUCAGAUGUAUCAUGACCGAACCAAGCGAAGUAGCUACAGAACAAUAUCAUGGCGCAGUUCAGCAACAACCAACCAACAAGAACAUCACACAUCGCGCAUAGCAUGAUGUCCAUCGUCGUGCAAUUUUGUUUAGUCCAUCUGAGAUUUUGCAAUUUUGUAACCCAGCCAACCAAGGCUCCAGGGGGGUAGUUUUCUAGUAACAACAUCGUCGUCAUCAUGCUCAAUGGCACCAACACCAUUGCCACUCAUCUUAAACACAAAAAAUGCAACACAUCACAAAUACUAGAAUCUAGAACAGCCCCUUGUGAAUCUGUACAUGUAUAGUAGCAUCAAACAAAUGACACUAUAAUUCCUUGUGAGCAUCAUUUACAUAUUCUUAAAACUCUGCAUGACAGAAAGCAACAACUUGAGAGCAACACCCCUACAUAGAAACAGACUCUACAUGCAAAAUUUAUGUUCCGACAUAUUUGGAUUGCAGAUGCUCAAGCUUAGACUUUCUGUUGAAUCUCUCCCUAACCAUUAGAAUAGUGAUUUGUAGUAUAACUUAAGAACGAUCAAGUUAAAAUGUAAAAAGAUUGCUAAAGCCACAUUAUAUCGAAAAACUAUGGCCUUGUUCAAAACAUCCAGUUGAAGCUAGCAAAAUAAGACAAGAGAUCACUCGGAUAUCUGGACAUCAUGAUAUGAACUUACUGUCAAUGGAUUGACCACAACAACCAUUGUAGAUAUGGUGCCUAGUAAUUCAGGGCAUAACCAGAACCCUAUAACUAACACUAAGCAAUGUAUACCAAUAGCACACCAUAUCUUAUUGGCUGCACAAUAAAUGAGAAAUCACAUCACUGCCGAUGCUGUUGGAUCAAGCAAUCUACUACCGAUGCUAUCUUUGGGACUUGCGAGAGAGCCCACUGAAAGUGCAACUAUCCCUAGGUGGUUUUGGUAAAUCAUAACAACAUAUAGCUCAUUGAGCUAAUGCUAUUCCAAGACUAUUAUUUCAGGAAAGCUCAAUGAAUGGCAUGGCAUGGAUGAUGAAAGUGGAUCCCUCAAAAUAUCAAGGACAAAGGAUUGGCUCAAGCUCAAAAGCUCAAGACUCUUCAUUUUACAUUUUAGUGAUCCAAGAUCACAUUGAGUCUAUAGGAAAAGCCAAUACUUUCAAGGAGGGAUGAGGUGUUGCUUAAUGAGCCUCUUGCUUCAAGUGCUUAGUGAUAUGCUCCAAAUACCCUCAACUACUUUCUCACAUCCUCAUAUGACCUAAACCUAAAGUCAAAAUCGGUCACACCGAUUCUUUCUAUCCAGCGCCACCGAGUUCAAAUGUCAUAGCCACUGCCACAAACCCUAGGCAAAUCGGUCUCACCGAUAGGGAUCUCGGUCUCACCGAGAUGGGAUUGUAAUCUCUCUGUUUCCCUUCGUAACGUUUCGGUCUAACCGAAGUGAGCGAUCGGUCCCACUGAGAUUGCAAUGUAAACUCUUUGUUUCCUUUUCGUGACAUUUCGAUCUCACCGAAAAGAGCAAAUCGGUCCCACCGAGUUUACCUGACCAACUCUCUGGUUAGCUAAUUACCAAAAUCGGUCUCACCGAGUUUGUGUAAUCGGUCUCACCGAGAUUACGUUAUGCCCUAACCCUAACAAUAUCGGUCCUACCGAGUUGCAUUUCGGUCCCACCAAAAAUCCUAACGGUCACUAGGUUUACUAAAUCGUUCUGACCGAGUUUGUUGAUUCGGUCCCACCGAGAUUGGUAAAUUGUGUGUAACGGUUAGAUUUUGUGUGGAGGCUAUAUAUACCCCUGCACCUUAUCUUCAUUCAUGGAGGGAGCCAUCAGAAAAAACCUACACUUCCAACUUACCAGUUCUGAGAAAGAACCACCUACUCAUGUGUUGAGGCCAAGAUAUUCCAUUCCUACCAUAUGAAUCUUGAUCUCUAGCCUUCCCCAAGUUGCUUUCCACUCAAAUCUUCUUUCCACCAGAUCCAAAUCCUAUGAGAGAGAGUUGAGUGUUGGGGAGACUAUCAUUUGAAGCACAAGAGCAAGGAGUUCAUCAGCAACGCACCAUUUGUUACUUCUUGGAGAGUGGUGUCUCCUAGAUUGGCUAGGUGUCACUUGGGAGCCUCCGACAAGAUUGUGGAGUUGAACCAAGGAGUUUGUAAGGGCAAGGAGAUCGCCUACUUCGUGAAGAUCUACCGCUAGUGAGGCAAGUCCUUCGUGGGCGAUGGCCAUGGUGGGAUAGACAAGGUUGCUUCUUCGUGGACCCUUUGUGGGUGGAGCCCUCCGUGGACUCGCACAACCGUUACCCUUCGUGGGUUGAAGUCUCCAUCAAUGUGGAUGUACGAUAGCACCACCUAUCGGAACCACGACAAAAACAUUCGUGUCUCCAAUUGCGUUUGAAUCCUCCAAACCCUUCCCUUUACUUUCUUGCAAGUUGCAUGCUUUAAUUCUGCUGCCUAUAUACUCUUUGCAUGCUUGCUUGAAUUGCGUGAUGAUUGCUUGACUUGUCCAAAGAUUGCUAAAAUCUGCCAAACUCUAAAACUGGGAAAAGGUUAAGUUUUUAAUUGGUCAAGUAGUCUAAUCACCCCCCCUCUAGACAUACUUCAAGGUCCUACAAGUGGUAUCAGAGCUUUGGUCUCCAUUUGCUUUGAUUUCCAUAGCUUUUGGUGGUCAUAGCCUUGGUUUCACAACCUAGGAGAGUAUGGCGUCUAGCGAGGGAAAUUAUCACCGUAGAGGUCCUUACUUUGAUGGCACUAAUUUUGCUAGUUGGAAGCAUAAGAUGAAAAUGCAUAUUCUCGGACAUAACCCCGCCGUUUGGGCUAUUGUUUGCAUUGGCUUGCAAGGUGAAUUCUUUGAUGGGAGAGAACCGAAGCGUGAAGCUAGUGCGGAUGAAUUGAAGAUACUGCAAUACAACGCUCAAGCUUGUGAUAUCCUCUUCAACGGUCUAUGCCCUGAAGAAUUCAACAAAAUCAGCCGUCUUGAGAAUGCAAAGGAAAUUUGGGACACUUUGAUUGAUAUGCAUGAAGGUACCGACUCCGUCAAGGAAUGCAAGUUGGAUGUGCUCCAAAGUCAGCUUGACAAGUUCAAAAUGAAGGAUGGUGAAGGUGUCGCUGAAAUGUACUCUAGGCUUGCUCUUAUCACAAAUGAGAUUGCCGGCUUAGGAAGUGAAGAGAUGACCGACAGAUUCAUCAUCAAGAAAAUCCUAAGAGCAUUGGAUGGAAAAUAUGAUACCGUGUGCACAUUGAUUCAAAUGAUGCCCAAUUACAAGAAUCUCAAGCCAACGGAGGUCAUUGGUAGAAUUGUUUCUCAUGAGAUGUCACUCAAGGAUAAGGAGGAACUUCACAAAAAGUCAAGUGGUCCUUACAAAGCCUCAUGUGAAUCCCCCACAUCAUCAAGUGAGAAACGAACCUUCAAUGAAGAAUUGAUCUUAAUGGUGAAGAAUUUCAACAAAUUCUACAAGAGUAGAAGCACAGAAAGAAGCUCUAAGUCAAGGUCCUACAAUGAAAAAAGAUCUUCCAGUCGAGAGAGCAAUUGCUACAAUUGUGGGAGACCCGGACACUAUUCCAAUGAGUGUACGGCACCCUACAAAAGAAGAGAAGAUUCUCCAAAAAGAAGAAGUAGAAGAGAAGAAUCACCACCAAGAGAGAGGAGGAGUAGAGAUGAUCGUUAUGAACGAAGAACAUCCCGGAGAAGCAAGGUUUCGGAAAGGAAUGACAAGUCAUCAAAGAGCUACACAAAACGAAGACAUCAAGCUCAUGUUGGUGAAUGGGUAUCCAGUUCCAACUCUGAACAUCACUCCGAGAGAAGCUAUCACUCCGACUCCGAACAUACUCAAGAUGAAGGUGUUUUCGGUCUAGCACUUGUGUCAACCAACUCCUACGACAUAUUUGAAUCACCAAAUGAAGGAAUUGGAAGAUGCUUCAUGGCUAAAGGCCCUAAGGUAACUCAUCCCGAGUAUGUUGAUUUCAAUAGUGAUGAAGAUGACUUGCUAGGUGAUGAUGAUUUACUUAUUGACAACUCUAGUGAUGAAUACUAUGAUGAAACGUCAAUUAAUCAUGCUAAACAAGAUAAAACAAAUGGCAAUGAUAAGGAUAAGAUUGAGCUUCUAACUAAAUAACUAAACACUCUUAAGUUAUCUCAUGAAACUAUCUUCGAAAAUCAUCGAGAACUUUUAAGGGCUCAUGAGAAGUUACGCUUUGAAAAGCUCAAUCUUGAGCAAGAGCAUGAGUUCUUAAAGGCAAUCAAUGAUGAUCUUCGCAAGAAAAGUUCUUCUUAUAUUGCCAAGCGUUUACUCUUAUCUACUUACAUGCCUCAAGUCAAGUCUAGUAACAAGAACAAGAAAGAUUCUUCCUCUAGUAGUAACAAUAACAAUGCUAAAUCCAAUAUUGUUGCUUCUAGUAGUUCUCUUGAUUCCACUAAUGAUUCUCUUAGACAAGUUACACUUGAGCAAGAAAAUAGCUUAUUGAAGGGAAUUAUAGAGAAAGGUCUAUACAAGAGCCUUGCCAGGAGUAAGCAAUACAAAGAAAUUGUACGCAAGCAAGGAAGGCACCGGAAGAAUCAAGGUGUUGGUUUUGAACGAAAGUUCAAUGCCAAUGGAGUUGAGUGGGUAGAAGAUCAAUACCCUAAGACGAAGUUUGUUCCUCAACAAGAGAAGUAUGAUCCCACUUCCUUCAAGGGAACACAAGCACAAGAUGAUCUUCCACCACAAUACCACAAGAACAAAGGCAAGGACAAGCUUCGAGAGGAGAUUGAUGCAUUUGAAGAAGAACCUAAGGCCUUGGUCAAGUGGGUUCCCAAGACUACGUCAAGUUCUACUUCAUCAAGCACAACUACUACACCAAGGAUUCCCAUCAAGAUGAUGUGGAUCCCGAAGAAGAAUAACUAGAGAGUUCUUGAGGGUGACUCUGCCAACAUUCUUCACUCAUAUCAUUAUGGCGAGGACAAGUGCAAUCAACUUCCACAUCUUGCACUAGUUCAAGGAGUCACAAACCCUCAUGUUGGUAAGGCAAGGGACAAGGUAACCUAAUGUUUUCAUGGACAUCAUUUUGUGUGUGCAUCACUCUAUGUCUAUGGAUAUUCUUGUUUGUUCCUUGUGGGACUAACCCGUGUAGGUAUUGAAAGUGCAACUCACUCCAAAGGAUUGCUCCAAAAUAUCUACAUCAACAUUGAGCAUCCACAUCUUUAACACCUACAUGAAGUCAUCAUCGACAAAACCCAAGGUUAGUUUAUCCCUCUAAGGGGGGAUCUCACAUCUAGGGGGAGCUUAACUCUAAGAAUUGAGUCAAAGCAACUCUAAUGAUGUGAACACAUCAAUGCAUUAUGUAAAAGUGGUAACCCCACUUGAGCUUAAACGAUGAGUAUGACCUAUGACCAAAUGUUAUCAUUUGACUCCUAAGUCAAUAUACUCAUAUAUAGAUGACCUAGUCAUCGCCAAUUGUUUGAUAGAUGCUAGAAUUGGUUGUGCAUACUUUGUCACAUAUUUCAUUUGUCAUUUUAGUGUGUGAGCAUGUUGGAAGCAUAUUUUACUCAUUCGAGGACAUCCACUUGUUGUUUUGAUUGAUUGGCUUCUUUUUCUUUGGCCAAGUGGAUGGACAAGAAUGCCUAAUAACCUUCUCUAGCUAUCUAUGCUUUUCUUGUCUCAAACUCUAUUCAUGCUACAUCACAAAAUUUGAUCAAGUCAGAUUCGAACCACUCUGUGUGAGGAGCACUCGGAGUCCCCGAUUCAUCAUAGACUUAAAGUUCCAAAACUUCUUUGUGAUUUUUGGUCUGACCGAUUCCUCCAUUUCGGUCAUACCGAGAUCACUAAGUCGAUCUAGGUUUUCAAUCUCGGUGCAACUGAUUUGAACUUUUCGGUCACACUGAGUUGUUGUAACUGUAUACAGUUAUGCAUCUCGGUGCCACCAAGUUGUUCCACUCAGUCACACCGACAGUGUCGGGCUAUAUAUACUCACGGAAAAUUUUGGAAAACUUUCUCAGAAACUCCUCGCCCGCGCAUAGCUCGCUCCGCCUACUAGGUCUACGGAUUGUCGACUUCGUCGCCAGCCACCUACUGUCGCUGGUCUCCGCCGCCGUCAACGGAAUUCUUCUCCACCCUUGCCGCCGUAGCGAGUUCAUCGCCAAGCUAGGGUAUGAACUCGAUCAUAGUGCUAUCCUCGUCUGAUUCUCAGCACAUUGUGUUCGUAAUGCAUCUUGCCACGAUUGUAACACUCCUAUCCAGUCGAUACGAUCCUUAGAAUAGAUGUGAUUCGAAAAUUUAGGGUUAGGUUUCCGCCGAAACAAUCUUGGACCCACCGAGUUGAAAAACUCGGUCCCACCGAUUUGGCUAACGCCAUUACACUAGGAAGUCUCGGUCUGACCGAGAAUUACAAAUCGGUGUGACCGAUUUUAAAACUUUGUGAAACCCUAGCAGUCUCGGUGCCACCGAACUGUGACUCGGUCUGACCGAGUUCACUAGUUUAGGUUCCAAAACUGCUUCGGAAUCACCGAGUUUGAAAAUCGCUAGAUCCGAAAUGCUUUCUGUGGAAAACUAAAACUAAGUUUUUUGAAUCAUUCUUUUGCAAAAAUCUCUGCAUUUUGUGAUGCUCAUCCACUCUAUAUCAUCUAUAACUAUUCACAGGGUCAGCGGUCAGUGUGUGCAGCAUGUCAGACCAAAGUGAUAGUCAGAACAAGUCAGCAGAGCAGAUUCACAUGAGUGAGGGCACUAGUCCCUCAAGUUCUUCAGAUGAAGGCAGCAGAAGUACUCCUAGCAAUUUGCCCAAAGCAGCCACAAGAGAAAGAAGGAAGAGAACCUCAGACUCAGAGGAUGAGGACUAUGUGGCAGCUGAAGAUGAGGCUACUUCCAAGAAGUUAGUGCUCAAGAGGGAGUACAGCUCAACUGCAGUAAAGCCAGGCAUGAAGAUCAAAAGGCCUGCAGGAAGACAUCCAAUGUCCAAAGCCAGAGGAUCAACUCAAGUACCUGAAAAGCCUGAUCCCAAAGAGCCAGCUGCAGAAGGAAAGAAAAGGAAGGAAAGGGUCAAGAAGACCAUGGCCCGAGUUGUUGGUUAACCUUCCAUGAUGGAAGAGGGAGAAGAGGUUGCUGAACCAGCACCCACGACACAAAAGCUGAUGGGUGAUGCUAUAAAGUCAGGGGCUGCAACAUCAAAGCCCAAAGAAGCACCCAAAGCUGCCCCCAAGCUCAAGAUUGCACCAAAGAGGAAUACCAGGAGUAUACCAGCAGCUGAGAAGAACAAGGCCCCAAUGCCUGAAGUUGCUGCUGAGGAAGAUGAAGAAGGGCAGAUCUUAAGGAAGCUCAAACCCAAGAUUCCAGACCACAACGAUGCUCAUCCAGUGGCUGAAAAUAUGAAGCUAAGGAAGGAUGCAGGGUUGAGGCUAUGGAGAUUGACAUAUCCAUAUGCCACAAGGAGGAGGACUGCUGUAGAUUACAGGUUCCAUACCAAGGAGCAGCGGGACUUCUAUGAGACAAUCUUGUUGGACAAGAAGCCCAUAGUGUGUGAUAUGAGGUGGGUCGACUGGACCUACAUGAAGGAAAAUGAAGAACACUAUCCUGGAGUGCAAGACAGUUUUGUUGCUUGUGGAGUUGCAGAUUUUGUUGGGCAGAAGCUCACCAACUGGAAUGAUGAACUCAUUAUGCAAUUCUACUCCACAGCACAUUUCUAUCCAGAUGGGAGGAUAAUUUUGAUGUCUGAAGGAACAAGAUACCAGUCAACCAAAGAGGAAUGGGCCAAUCUGAUCAAUGCCCCAAAGGAGAGUGAAUAUGACUUGGACAUUUAUGCCAAGAAGAAAAUGGAUCAUAAGUCAAUGUCACAUAUGUGCAAGGAGAUCCCUGAUGAAGCACUUGAGAUUUUCAAGUUUGGAUCAGUUCAUUUUCUUCUGUCAGGGCUGCCUACGAUCAACUAGAUCUUAAGGCACACUCUUUUGCCCAAAUCAGGUGACCACAACAUGAUUAGAGGGCAUGCUAUUAACUUGCUUCACAUAUAUGAUGUGCCCCAGAAAUUCAAGGUCAUGAGCCUUAUGGUUGAAACUAUCAAGAGGACUGCAGCAGACCAAAAGAGGAGUUGUGGAUAUGCCCCACAAAUUCAGGAGUUGAUUAACUCAAAGAUGGGCACAGGAAAAUAUCAGUUGGAUAAAGAAAUUUUUUCUCUCUAUCCAGACUUUGAGGACAAUGAAGUUGUCAUGAAUGAGAAUGAACCAUCAUCAGUGCAAGCUGAAGAGAAGAAGGAGAAAGCAAGGAAAGAGAAGGCUGCCAAGAUGCCAACUCAAGAGGAGACAUCUGAGUACUUUUUGAAGAACAAGCAGGAGAAGCUUGGUUACUUGAUAGCAUCAACUCUGCGGAUUGAGAAAGGAUUGGCCACCCUAACUCAAACCAGGAGAGCCUGGAAAGAAUCAUGGAACAAAAAUUCUAUGAUCUAGAUGUCAAAGUAACUGAGAUUCAGUUAGUUGUGGAACAGCUUCAGGAUGACAUGCAGGAGAGGAAGGGCAAGACAACCACUGAUGCAUUUGCCAGAGUGCCUAGAGCUCAGAGGUCAGCUGCAGUGCCUGUGACAGACACAAGAGCCACAUCAUCUGCACCAGCUACAACUCCUACAGCUCCAGUGCAACCAGCUCCAGCACCAACUCCUCCAGCUCCAUCUACAUCAACUGAAGUCUUCGUCCAAGGAGCCAUCUCUACACCACCAACAGAAGACCAAGCCUGAGAGUCGAUCUAGCACUAUGCAUUUUCUAUGAACUUUUUGAUAACUUGUUGCCAAAGGGGGAGAAAAAUGUAUAGAUCAUAGGCUUCGAGAGAGAGUGUGUUGCUUUUGUUCUCUCUUGCUUUAGUGGUUAAACUUUGUUUGCUUUUGAUUGCUUGAGAUACUAUGCAAUUACCUGUGAGAUAUUGAUGAUCAUGUGUUUGAUCGUAAGCUACACUUAUGCUAGUUAUAUGAUAUUAUCUUACCUAUCCUUAUAUGAUCAUUCACUUUGAUUGGUGAUGAGUGCAUGUAUUCAAUCUUUAUUAUUUUGAGCGCUCCAUCAAGAUGUAUGUGACAUGGAAGAGUAACCCAUGAGCCUAAUUCCUUGUGCAUUUGCAGUCCAAAGCAAAUCUUAAAAUAUGCACAAAUUUAGGGGGAGCUCUUUCUUAUCACAUACUUCUCAAAGCGACGAUGUUUUUCAAUCUUAUUAUCAUUUGUCGAAGCUUUGAUCUAUAUGUUGUCAUCAAUUACCAAAAAGGGGGAGAUUGAAAGUGCAACUAUCCCUAGGUGGUUUUGGUAAUUCAUAACAACAUAUAGCUCAUUGAGCUAAUGCUAUUCCAAGACUAUUAUUUCAGGAAAGCUCAAUGAAUGGCAUGUCAUGGAUGAUGAAAGUGGAUCCCUCGGAAUAUCAAGGACAAAGGAUUGGCUCAAGCUCAAAAGCUCAAGACUCUUCAUUUUACAUUUUAGUGAUCCAAGAUCACAUUGAGUCUAUAGGAAAAUCCAAUACUAUCAAGGAGGGAUGAGGUGUUGCUUAAUGAGCCUCUUGCUUCAAGUGCUUAGUGAUAUGCUCCAAAUACCCACAACUACUUUCUCACAUCCUCAUAUGACCUAAACCUAAAGUCAAAAUCGGUCACACCGAUUCUUUCUAACCCGCACCACCGAGUUCAAAUGUCAUAGCCACUGCCACAAACCCUAGGCAAAUCGGUCUGAUCGAUAGGGAUCUCGGUCUCACCGAGAUGGGAUUGUAAUCUCUCUGUUUCCCUUCGUAACGUUUCGGUCUAACCGAAGUGAGCGAUCGGUCCCACUGAGAUUGCAAUGUAAACUCUUUGUUUCCUUUUCGUGACAUUUCGAUCUCACCGAAAAGAGCAAAUCGGUCCCACCGAGUUUACCUGACCAACUCUCUGGUUAGCUAAUUACCAAAAUCGGUCUCACCGAGUUUGUGUAAUCGGUCUCACCGAGAUUACGUUAUGCCCUAACCCUAACAAUAUCGGUCCUACCGAGUUGCAUUUCGGUCCCACCAAAAAUCCUAACGGUCACUAGGUUUACUAAAUCGUUCUGACCGAGUUUGUUGAUUCGGUCCCACCGAGAUUGGUAAAUUGUGUGUAACGGUUAGAUUUUGUGUGGAGGCUAUAUAUACCCCUGCACCUUCUCUUCAUUCAUGGAGAGAGCCAUCAGAAAAAACCUACACUUCCAACUUACCAGUUCUGAGAAAGAACCACCUACUCAUGUGUUGAGGCCAAGAUAUUCCAUUCCUACCAUAUGAAUCUUGAUCUCUAGCCUUCCCCAAGUUGCUUUCCACUCAAAUCUUCUUUCCACCAGAUCCAAAUCCUAUGAGAGAGAGUUGGGUGUUGGGGAGACUAUCAUUUGAAGCACAAGAGCAAGGAGUUCAUCAUCAACGCACCAUUUGUUACUUCUUGGAGAGUGGUGUCUCCUAGAUUGGCUAGGUGUCACUUGGGAGCCUCCGACAAGAUUGUGGAGUUGAACCAAAGAGUUUGUAAGGGCAAGGAGAUCGCCUACUUCGUGAAGAUCUACCGCUAGUGAGGCAAGUCCUUUGUGGGCGACGGCCAUGGUGGGAUAGACAAGGUUGCUUCUUCGUGGACCCUUCGUGGGUGGAGCCCUCCGUGGGCUUGCGCAACCGUUACCCUUCGUGGGUUGAAGUUUCCAUCAACGUGGAUGUACGAUAGCACCACCUAUCGGAACCACGACAAAAACAUCCGUGUCUCCAAUUGCGUUUGAAUCCUCCAAACCCUUCCCUUUACUUUCUUGCAAGUUGCAUGCUUUAAUUUUUGCUGCCUAUAUACUCUUUGCAUGCUUGAUUGAAUUGCGUGAUGAUUGCUUGACUUGUCCAAAGAUUGCUAAAAUCUGCAAAACUCUAAAACUGGGAAAAGGUUAAGUUUUUAAUUGGUCAAGUAGUCUAAUCACCCCCCUCUAGACAUACUUCAAGGUCCUACACCCACCAUCCCCUGCUACCCGGCCUACGUUGUAGGUUUUUCCACAAGGAGGCUUGCUACAAACAGAGGCUAUAUAGUAUGACAACAUUACCUUAACACAAUGAGAGAAAGUUUCCAACUUAUAAAAGUGCCUUAGUAAGCGUGUAUAUGCAGGCUGACAGCCUAACAGGGUCUGUUGUUUACAUGACACAGUUUGAAUGUGAGGAAAUGUGUAACACUUAUAAAGGAGUAAAAAAAAUACUCUUAUAUUUUCUUAGCUGACACCAGGAACCCUAUAACCAACCAUGGCAUGGGCAUAUAGAGGAUCUACCGAGACAGCUUUGAGCUAUACAAGCCGUACUAACAGGCAAGAAUAUCAAAGUUUCAAAAGUCACCCAGACAAGAUCUGCCAAUUUGUUACUCCCUCUGUCCCAUAAUAUAAGAACGUUUUCCAAGCUAAAAUAGUUUGAAAAACGUUCUUAUAUUAUGGGACGGAGGGAGUAGCAACUUAUGAGACCAAAACGAGUCCAGAGUAAACUGCAUUCAAGCUAAACAAACUGGAAAUUUUGUUCCAAAGCUUAAUUCAGGCCACAUGUGAGAUUUGUUGGGCGAACUUUUUUAAGACAAAAUGCAGCAAAGCAACCAAGACCUUGGCUUAAUUUUUUUGUGUUUUCGCCAUGAAGAGAGUUCCCUUUCACUACAACAAUUAUAACUUCAAAAUAGAAGCCAAAGCAUUUCCAAGACAAAUGGUGCCAUUUCCCAUACUCUUAUCAGCUUAAGGUCAUCAACUUAAUCCAGAAUUAGUUCAUACACAGUAUUAUGAAGCCUUCAUCUACAAUAUCCAGAAUUAGUUCAUACAGAAGAAAAUGCUACUGGUUAAUAUCUUACCAGCCCAUGCCAACCAAGAAGAAGUCUUACCAGCUAGCUAGUGCUGGUGAAUAGUUUUAAUACAAAAAAUGAGAACACAUAAAAUCUGGUGUAGUCACAUAUUUGGAUUUAAGAUGCUCAAGUUGAGAAUUUAUGUUGAGUCUGCCAUUACCAUUAAAAUGCUGUGUACUAUAACUUACAAGCGUACGAGCUAAAAUGUAAAAAGAAGUUACUAAAUUGAAAGACUAUGGCCUUGUUCAACACAUGCAGUUGAAGAAAGCUAAAAUAAAACAAGAGGUCACCCGGAUAUCUUGGAUAUCUAGUCACACUUACAACAAUUCCUCAAAGUACGCGAUCUAUUAAAAUGAACUCAUGAUUGUGCAAUUCAACAUAUAUUCUUGCAUGUGAGAGCCCUAAGGCUGACACUGAGACACAUGAUAGUGCGAUGGAUAGCAUUACAAUAGCAGAUGGGCAAAUUCAUUAAUGAUACCAUCGCAAUCACACGAUUGUGAUGGUUGGAAGACCACCACCACAAAUAGCAAGAUCACAUAACCGAGCUCUCCAUUUAGAUCGAUGGUCAGGAUGACAAUCAACCGCAACUCAAUGGACGCACAAUCUAAGGGCACACAUCAGAGAGGGGGCCAGGAACUCACCAGAAUCGAGGAAGAGAUGUCGACCAGUAUGGUGGGGCUGUCAUCAUGCUGUCGGGAAAUCCGAAGUAGUGGCCGAGGAGGAGGUAGUCCAAUGCAGUUGAAGUAGCCGUACACAGAGGUUACACCGCAACCAAUGCCAUCCAAUCGGUUUUGACGCCCGGCACGAAGGGGCAUGUCAAUGACCAUUAAGUCACCACCCCACCAAAGCCACACCAUGGUGUGGGGGCCAGGGCCCAGUGGCGCAUGCAGAGGCGCACGGUGAGUCAUUGAAUCUAAUGGAACCAUUUCACUGAAAACAACACACAAAGAAAAAGCUAUGUCAAGUUGACAUGAAUAACAAAAACUGUGCAAGCACACUUGCAUGCUAACCAAGUUAUUUUGCUAAAAUGUAGUUAAUAAAAAGAACAGGAAUGAGUCACGAUAGUACCCAUGUAGUUUGCAACACACGGAUACAUGCAUGCUAGCUGGGCAUCAAGAUGCAAAGCACUGUACUGAGACACUAACAUAAGCACAUAAAACAAACCUGUCCACUUAUUGCCACCAGAAACAAUCAUCCUUCAAUACUACUCAGAGGAUUUAUGUAUCUAAGAAACUCAGUCACAUUGUGAAAAAAAAUCCAACCAAAAGUAGAAGAAAUCGCAAAAAAAGAGAAAGGGAUGUGAGACAACAAAGUUGCUCCUACAAACUGCACAUAUUAAUCAACUUCUAAAGCUAUUUUCCAAUUGAAGUAUCAAAAAGGAAAGGAACAUGUCAUUUUCUGGGAACUCUAAACGGUUAGCCAAAUAAAGAGAUGAUGUUUAAUAUAUAUGAAUGCAAAUGAAAAGAGGAUGUAUACCACAUAAAUCCUACAUGCUCAAAUGUUCUACAUUGUUUGGAUCAACAGAGAGAGGAAAUGAUUGUCACCUGAACAGCAAGCAGACUGGUGCAUGUGGAGGCGAUGCAAACACGGCGGAGGAAGCUCCCUCAUCCUAUCCCAGCACAUGGUUGUGGAGGAGGUGGGCUUGGUCUUGGGCGACGAUGUUCACCUCGAGCGCCUUCUAAGAAGGCUCGUCCUUGUGGAGCACGGUGGUGGCAUUCUUCGAUGUGGCAUCAAGUAAGCUCCCGUUGGGAUAAUAUUUAGCUUUUAAUACCCUUGCCAGCAAAGAAUCCGGGUCAGUUAUGAGUCGCCAACUCUGUUUCACGAAUAAAACUAAGUUGAAAGAGUAGAGGUCAUGGAAUCCCAUACCUCCUUCACUCUUCGGAAUACAAAGCAUCCACCAUAUCAUCCACUGCAUCUUCCUAUGUUUUUCAUCAUCACUCCACCAUGAGGAAUAGCAUCCAUGAUUUCUUUGCAGAUCCCCUUGGGUAUACUAAACACAUAAUUUCUAUACCUAAUAAUAAUUAUUAUUAUAAAAGAUGGUGCGUUUCUCUGGUUUUUUGGUCCGUUCACCCAUAUAACUAUUUUUGAGAUUUUUUUCCAUGCAAGGUAGUACUAAAUAUUUCACGCCUCCAUCCUUCCACUUCUACCUCAAUCUUAUGUUUGGUUUGUACAUCACUACACCUUCGAUAGCUGCCUGGUCCUGAGCCCAUCGAACCUAUCAGCUGGCCCGGCUCCAUUGGGGCCUAGUAACCCGGUAGUGUAGGCAAUAAAAUAGGCAACAUUGUGAGGUGUCAAACUCAAGACCCGUAGUCCAGUCCGAAAGGGUACAAACCUGUUGAGCUACUUAUUGUUGUGCGUUAAACAAGAAAUAUGCUCAUAUAAUAAAUAGUACCACCUCACUAACUUAUACACCACCCAAGCAAUUUAUAUACGUCCAUGAUGUAUUUCAGUAAGCCGCCUCAAGGAUUAAAGUAUAUGAUCAAGAGUGGUCCAUUUGCUUAUAAAAUAUGAGCACAUGAAGGAAAGAAAUUAAAGGAAGACCAAGAAGAAAAUAACUAAAAGAAGAAAUAAGUGCCUCUAUGGUUGCAUGGGUCGGAUGAGCGAUAGAAAGAAAUUAAUGCGUGUGUGCAGAGAAAGAAAACAAACUAUAGAAAUAAAUAAAUAAAUAUGUUUGUAUAGAGAAAGGGGAUUAAAAGAAUUGAGGAGAUUAUAAGAGCAUGGUUAAUGAUAUAGCCAAGAGCAGGAUAUAUUGGGUUGUCAUGUCAUUAUAGUCAACCUAAUAUCACACGCAUACAAUAGUUAGUCAUACUAAUAUGUACUACCAUUAAUGCAUGUUACACAUCUUUAUCUCACAAGCGUUGUUGGGGCUUGUGUUACAAGCCGGCUGUAAGCUUGUAACCUGCUUCUCUUCUCUCCCCUCUGCUCUCUCCUCCAACUAGGAAUAAAUUUAACAUGGCAGCUCUUAUAGCCUGCAUUCUUUAACAUUACAUUAUUUUAAGUGGGCUCAAUGUCCAGGUGUGAAAACUCUAGGUAUGACCUUCUUUGGUUAAACCUAGCAACUGUGUCAUUCACGAGAUGUUCCCAUGUUAAAGGCAUUGCAUGGAGUUUACCCAGACUCUAUUCCAUGACGAACACCCAUCAUCUUGCCUCAUUGCUUUGGUCUAGCGACAACGUCGCUCAUGCAUCAUUUCCUUUUUUGAGGCGUCGUUGUUGAAGUACCUAUCAUGUAACCUGGGGUUGCCAUCCUUGAAGGUUGUUGUUGUUUUUUGCCGCAGUCGUUCUGUUGGUUGAUUUUUUUGUAGUUAUUUACUUGUGUGAAUCCUCAAUCUCUUGAAUAAUGCUCGAGUUAUAUUGCUGUAGAGGGUGGGUGUAAUUGAUAUCUUCUCGAUAUUCAUAUAUUCCCUUUACAAAAAGAAUUGGACGCUAACACAUGGUGUCACUCAAACAUAGUAACUUUGAUAACUAAGGACAUGUACAGUUGUUCUAUUUUACAGCAUGUCCAACAGAUGCACAAUAAUAGUUAUCGUCCCCGAAAAACUAUCAUUUGGUUUUUUUUGAAGAAAAUCAGCUCCAACAGAUGCCUUAUAGGUAUGUGGUGCCUAAAACAUUUUAUAUCAAACACAAGCUUUCACUACAAGUGAGAGCAUUUCCAAAAGAUGACAAAAAGUUUAGUGCCCCAAAAAUAAUUUUAGGUGAGGAAAGAGAAGGUAUUUGGGCACCAUAAUAUAGUUUUUUUUUCUUUUCUUGAUGCUCUAAAAGUUGGGCAUUCUUCGUCUACCACACAAAUUUGAGCAUAUGCAAUUUUAGAAAAUAAUAUCAAAUUCAUUUCAAGUUAAACACAAAUAGUACUUAAUUAUUACGAGUUCAUCAUUCCGCAACCUCAAAUUCAACACAAUUAUUCAAACGUGACACAAAUUAAGAUCACCACAAAUGACAUGACACAUAGAGUAGGACUAGUGUCGUUGUUGCCCAAUCCACAUCCAUCACUCCUCGGUGAAAUGUUUUUCAAGAUCUUCAUGAGUAUCCACAUCUUGAAUUUCAUGAUGAACCACAAAGAACGCUUCAAAUUUGUCAUCUUUCUACGCGGACGGUGGUGGCAUGUGUAAUACGGAGCUAUGCAUGUAUGCACAUGUUUGUACUUGCCUCCAUCCACUAAUAAAAACAUACAAAAUGGAUUAGUUAUCUUAACCAAUAACUACGCAUUUGUAUGUUUAAGUAGUAUACAUACUAGUGGUGAAUCCAGGCUGCUUGAGAACGUUUUAGCCCUACUGUCGAUUUCAUCACUUUCCAUUACUCUCUCAUUCUUUAAUACUUUUCUUGUGUACUUUGAUUUCAAGUGACAACCCCUUGCAAUAUUUACACUUCCAUGUCACUUUUGCUUUGAACAACAAUUCAAUCACAUGCACAUUCUGGUAAAGCAUUACGAGAGGCAAAGACCAUUUCCUGUGUGCCAUUUAGGAAAAGGCUACAACUAAAUCAUAUGCAAUUGUAUUUUAUAGCAAUUAUUGAUCUCUCAUGCUUCACUUAUAUUAUUUUGAGAGUCUUUUAGAACAGCAUGGUAUUUUUGCUUUGGUUAUAAAAUUGGUCCUAAUAUGAUGGGCAUCCAAGAUAGGUAUAAUAAAAACUAUCAUAUAGAGUGCAUUAAACACUAUGAUCAAUUUGAUACUUGAUAAUUGUUUUGAGAUAUAAAGGUGGUAAUGAUAGAGUCAUUCUAGUUGGGUAAUUAUGAAAUUGAGAAAUACUUGUGUUAGAGUUGGCAAGUCCCGUAGCAUGCACGUAUGGUGAAUUGUUGUGUGAUAAAUUUGAAGCAUGGAGUGUUCUUUGAUUGCCUUCCUUAUGAGUGGAGGUCGGGAUAUCGUGAUGGUUAACUCCUACCAACCCUUCUCCUAGGAGCAUGCGUAGUAGUACUUUGCUUCGAGGGCUAAUAAACUUUUGCAAUAAGUAUAUGAGUUCUUUAUGACUAAUGUGAGUCCAUGGAUUAUACGCACUCUUAGCCUUCCACAAUUUGCUAGUCUCUACGGUACCGUGCAUUUCCCUUUCUCACCUUGAGAGUUGGUGCAAACUUCGCCAGUGCAUCCAAACCUCGUGAUACGAUACGCUCUAUCACACAUAAACCUCCUUAUAUCUUCCUCAAAACAGCCACCAUACCUACCUAUUAUGGCAUUUCCAUAGCCAUUUCGAGAUAUAUUGCCAUGAAACUUUCCAUGGUUCCGUUUAUUAUGACACGCUCCAUCAUUGUCAUAUUGAUUUUUGCAUGAUCAUGUAGUUAACAUCAUAUUUGUGGCAAACCACCUUUAUAAUUCUUUCAUACAUGUCGCUCUUGAUUCAUUGCAUAUCCCGGUACACCGCCGGAGGCAUUCACAUAGAGUCAUAUUUUUUCCUAAAUAUUGAGUUGUAAUUCUUGAGUUGUAAAUAAAUAAAAGUGUGAUGAUCUUCAUUAUUAGAGCAUUGUCCCAAGUGAGGAAAGGAUGAUGGAGACUAUGAUUCCCCCACAAGUCGGGAUGAGACUCCGGACUUUAUGAAAAAUAAAAGAGGCCAAAGAAGCCCAAAUAAAAAAAGAGGCCAAAGAAGCCCACCAAAAUAAAAAAAUAAAAAAAAGAAAAAAAAUGAGAGAAAAAGAGAGAAGGGACAAUGUUACUAUCCUUUUUCCACACUUGUGCUUCAAAGUAGCACCAUGAUCUUCAUGAUAGAGAGUCUCCUAUGUUGUCACUUUCAUAUACUAGUAGGAAUUUUUCAUUAUAGAACUUGGCUUGUAUAUUCCAAUGAUGGGCUUCCUCAAAAUGCCCUAGGUCUUCGUGAGCAAGCAAGUUGAAUGCACACCCACUUAGUUUCUUUUGGUGAGCUUGCAUACAUUUAUAGCUCUAGUGCAUCUGUUGCAUGGCAAUCCCUACUCCUCAUAUUGACAUCAAUUGAUGGGCAUCUCCAUAGCCCGUUGAUUAGCCGCGUCAAUGUGAGACUUUCUCCUUUUUCGUCUUCUCACACAGUCCCUAUCAUCAUACUCUACUCCACCCAUAGUGUUAUAUCCAUGGCUUACGCUCAUGUAUUGCGUGAGGGUUGAAAAAGCUGAAGCGCGUUAAAAAAUAUGAACCAAUUGCUUGGCUGAAACCGGGGUUGUGCAUGAUGGAAGUAUUUUGUGUGAUGAAAAUGAAGCAUGGCCAAACUAUAUGAUUUUGUAGGGAUAAGCUUUCUCUGGCUAUGAAAUAGAUAGUAGGGAAGAAAAUAGGGCAUGAAAUAAUUCACAUUUAUGUUGUCUAACCAAUCAGAAUAGCAGGACAUAAUUUCACAUAUAUGAUGGCUAAUUAAAUAGAAUAGCAUGACACAAUUUCACAUGUAUGAUGGCUAACUAAACAGGAUAGAAUGACAUACUUCAAAAUAUGAUGACUAUGUAAACGGGAUGACAUGAUAUAACUAUACGAUGUGUCUAUUAAAGUGAUUGGCAUGCCAUAAAUCACAAACAUGUCGUCGAUGAAAAUAUGAUGGCAUGACAUAAUUCACGGAUAGAAUGACAUAAUUUAAAAUAUGAUGACUAUGUAAACAGGAUGACAUGAUAUAACUAUAUUAUGUCUUUAGAAAAUGGGUUGGCAUGCCAUAAUUCAGAUACAUGUUGUCUAUGUAAACAACAUGGCAUUAUAUAAUUCAAAUAUAUGAUUUAUAUACUAAAGAAGUGAGCAGAGGGCAAUCGCAUAUAUGAUGUGUCAACUAAGGAGAUGGCAUUCAGUAUUGUGUAUAUGAUGUAAAAACUAAGCCUUGCAAUACAACAUAUGCAUGAUAUGAGUAAUAUAACCCUGCCAAGUUUGCGCAUACACCUCAGGGGGAUAAUAUGACUGGUCAUCUGCCUCUGAAUCCUCCUCUGAAGAGCUAUAUGUAACCAGCAAGAUAUCUGGUUCAGCAGGUAGCAUUGUCUGCUCUGAAGGCCUUGUUUUCACUCCAGAUUUCUCCAUCACCAAUUCAAAUAGCUGAUGCACAGGAAGAGCGGUUAAAUAUACAAACAUUGUCGACAAAAGCAAUGAGAAAUAUAAAAAAAGGUCGGCAUGAUAUAAUUCACAUAUAUGACGCUUGGCUAAACAGCAUGGCAUUGCAUAAUUCACAUAUAUAAUGCCUUGCAACAAGAUAACAUUGCACAAUUCGCAUAUAUAAUGUCUUGCAACAUGAUGACAUUGCAUAAUUCACAUAUAUGGUAAUUAGACACUAAAUGGGUGGCAUUCACACAAAGUAUGUCUAAACUAAGCAAAUGACAUAGCAAUGCAAGAUACCAUACGCACGAUAUGCACGUAUAUAUGAUGUACAAAGAUGGGCCAUGACCUCAACUAUACAAGAAACAAGGAGGUGGGCCAGAUACACAAAUAUACACAAAUAUGCACAUAACAUAUAUUGUACUAGUAGUACUUCACCGUUUUGGAACACCGGCGUCUGCGGAAUGGUUAGUGAGACCGGAUCUUUUUGCUCUGAAGUGGGAGGGUUCAUGAGGCAUAUCCGGACCUCCCACAGCAGUCAAAAUCAAGAAACAUUUCACUAACAUAUUGUUGUCUCUGGAUUCAGAAAUGCCUAAGUUCCUGCUUGGAAUGGGUGUAACUUUUUACACAUGUAUUUAUUUUACAAGUGUAAAUUACAGAUGAACACUUGAAACCUGCCUGGAAUCAAAACGACGGGAUGAGCUCCGUAUUUUAUACCGGCCAGAAACGAGGAGAAACGCUAAUCCAAACACGGCCUAAAGCAAGAAUUACAUCGAACUUCAAAUAAGAAACAUGGACUUCCCUUAUUCAAAAUGGAAGUAAUUUCCGACACAAAUAACAACCCUACAAAUUCAAAUAAGAAACACCCAGGAAAAAAAAGGUAAAGGGUGGCAGGCGUCACCGUGCCAAGCAUCCAAAUUCCUAAGUCUAAGUCACACAUAUAUUCGCGAGCGCACGCGCUAUAUAUGUACAUCUCUAUGUGUGCCCAUAGCACAACCUUCUUCUCAUCAUGUGGUUCUAGCAUUUUGUAGACAAAUGAAAGUCACCCUUAUAAGUUGGUCCACCCACCCUUGGCUCACCGAGGUGGGACUAAACUUUUGUUCCAUGUAGAGAUACUACUGGUUCUGUGUAGGCUCAGACAUGGAAUAGGUGGGCUAAAAUACAAAUGAUGCAUACGGGCUUGGGCUUCAUGCCACCAGAUGGGAAGAAUUGUUGCAUGUGAUGGUUUCCAUUAAAAUUGCUCUCGUUUCGUAACAUAAGCUAAACGUGAGACCACCUGAUGUCUACAUCCCCUAAAAGAAGAUAUACAAGCCAAAAAAAGUUAUCAAAAAAAUGACACUAUAAUUUAUUACGGAACUUUUGAGAAUAGAUAGGUCAUUGAUCGAUGCUGAAAAUUUCAUUGGUUAUUUUUUUAACAGUACCUGCUGCUAUUAAGAUAUUAACAUGUUGAAUGGUGCACCCGACCCAUAUAAAUGUCAGUUCCGAUAUUGUACCCUAAGCAUACAAAAAUACUAAUCGAUCCAAUCUAGUACUCCCUCCGUCCUAUAAAAUAAGAGCAUUUUUUUACAUCACCCUAGUGUUAAAAAUGUUCUUAUAUUAUGGGGCAGAGGAAGUAUAUCAGAGGCAUGUGUUCAAACCAAAAAGGCAUCUUCAACAUAUCAAUUCCACUGAAGAUCACAUUUUAAAAAGUCCAUGAAAAUUCUUUAGUGAGGGAGUUCCAGGAUACGCGCGUGCAUGUACCCCAACAAGAAAAUGUAUCUUCAACUUAUCACUUCUUCAUUAUAAACCACCCGAGAGUGCUUAAUUGCGUAGGUAUCCAGGAUCUCGAUGCGCCUGCGAGAAAAUGAAUGGCCAGAUGACAAAAACUGGCAGCAUGUAAAGAUUUAUCAUCUGAGUUGCAUAUUUCCAAGGCACAUCAAUAUGGUCAACAAUGAUCCAGAAAAUUAAGAACUGAUGAUAAACAUUGACAAAAGAAUAUACAUAAAUCAUGGUCAUCCCAAUAUAUAUCAAGGUCUAAGGCAUCUUUACAUGUCACUCUUGCUGAAGAACCCAUGGCAUUGCAAAGCCCUUGGUUGGGGACAACAGACAUAAACAAGGAACCUCCAAAAGUUGGGCAACCACAACUAACCAGCAAAAAAUCGACCAAAGAGAAGCUACCAGGCAACAAACAUCCCAAGCAUACAUGUCAGAUGUAUCAUGACUGAACCAAGCGAAGUAGCUACAGAACUAUAUCAUGGUGCAAUUCAGCAACAACCAACCAACAAGAACAUCACACAUCGCGCAUAGCAUGAUGUCCAUCGUCGUGCGAUUUUGUUUAGUCCAUCUGAGAUUUUGCAAUUUUGUAACCCAGCCAACCAAGGCUCCAGGGGGUAGUUUUCCAGUAACAGUGUCGUCGUCAUCAUGCUCAAUGGCACCAACACCAUUGCCACUCAUCUUAAACACAAAAAAUGCAACACAUCACAAAUACUAGAAUCUAGAACAGCCCCUUGUGAAUCUGUACAUGUAUAGUAGCAUCAAACAAAUGACACAAUAAUUCCUUGUGAGCAACAUUUACAUAUUCUUAAAACUCUGCAUGACAGAAAGCAACAACUUGACAGCAACACCCCUACACAGAAACAGACUCUACAUGCAGAAUUUCUGUUCCGACAUAUUUGGAUUGCAUAUGCUCAAGCUUAGAGUUUCUGCUGAAUCUCUCCCUAACCAUUAAAAUAGUGAUUUGUACUAUAACUUAAGAACGAUCAAGUUAAAAUGUAAAAAGAUUGCUAAAGCCACAUUAUAUCGAAAUAUUAUGGCCUUGUUCAAAACAUCCAGUUGAAGCUAGGAAAAUAAGAAAAGAGAUCACUCGGAUAUCUGGACAUCAUGAUAUGUACUAAAUGUCAAUGGACUGAUCACAACAACCAUUGUAGAUAUGGUGCCUAGUAAUUCAGGGCAUAACAAGAACCCUAUAACUAACACUAAGCAAUGUAUACCAAUAGCACACCAUAUCUUAUUGGCUGCACAAGAAGUGAGAAAUCACAGCACUGCCGAUGCCGUUGGAUCAAGCGAUCUACUACCGAUGCUAUUUUUGGGACUUGCCAGAGAGCCCACCAUCCCCUACUAUCCGGCCUACGCUGUAGGUUUUUCCACAAGGAGGCCUGCUACAAACAGAGGCUAUAUAGUAUGACAACAUUACCUUAACACAAUGAGAGAAAGUUUCCAACUUAUAAAAGUGCCUCAGUAAGCAUGUAUGUCCCGCCUGGUAGCCUAACAGGGUCUGUUGUUUACAUGACACGGUUUGAAUGUGAGGAAAUGUGUAACACUUAUAAAGGAGUAAAAAAAUACUCUUAUAUUUUCUUAGCUGACACCAGGAACCCUAUAACCAACCAUGGCAUGGGCAUAUAGAGGAUCUACCGAGACAACUUUGAGCUAUACAAGCCGAACUAACAGGCAAGAAUAUCAAAGUUUCAAAAGUCACCCAGACAAGAUCUGCCAAUUUGUUACUCCCUCUGUCCCAUAAUAUAAGAACGUUUUCCAAGCUAAAACAGUUUGAAAAACGUUCUUAUAUUAUGGGACGGAGGGAGUAGCAACUUAUGAGACCAAAACGAGUCCAGAGUAAACCGCAUUCAAGCUAAACCAACUGGAAAUUUUGUUCCAAAGCAUAAUUCAGGCCACAUGUGAGAUUUGUUGGGCGAACUUUUUUAAGACAAAAUGCAGCAAAGCAACCAAGACCUCAGCUUAACUUUUUUGUGUUUUCGCCAUGAAGAGAGUUCCCUUUCACUACAACAAUUAUAACUUCAAAACAGAAGCCAAAGCAUUUCAAAGACAAAUGGUGACAUUUCCCAUACUCUUAUCAGCUUAAGAUCAUCAACUUAAUCCAGAAUUAGUUCAUACACAGUAUUAUGAAGCCUUCAUCUACAAUAUCCAGAAUUAGUUCAUACACAAGAAGAUGCUAAUGGUUAAUAUCUUACCAGCCCAUGCCAACCAAGAAGAAGUCUUACCAGCUAGCUAGUGCUGGUGCAUAGUUUUAAUACAAAAAAUGAGAACACAUAAAAUCUGGUGAGGUCACAUAUUUGGAUUGAAGAUGCUCAAGUUGAGAAUUUAUGUUGAGUCUGCCAUUACCAUUAAAACACUAUGUACUAUAACUUACAAGCGUACGAGCUAAAAUGUAAAAAGAAGUUACUAAAUUGAAAGACUAUGGCCUUGUUCAACACAUGCAGUUGAAGAAAGCUGAAAUAAAACAAGAGGUCGCCCGGAUAUCGCGGAUAUCUAGUCACACUUACAACAAUUCCUCAAAGUACGCGAUCUAUUAAAAUGAACUCAUGAUUGUGCAAUUCAAAAUAUACUAUGGCAUGUGAGAGCCCUAAGGCUGACACUGAGACACAUGAUAGUGCAGUGGAUAGCAUUACAAUAGCAGAUGGGCAAAUUCAUUAAUGAUAUCAUCGCAAUCACACGAUUGUGGUGGUUGGAAGACCACCACCACAAACAGCAAGAUCACAUAACCGAGUUCUCCAUUUAGAUCUAUGGUCAGGAUGACAAUCAGCCACAACUCAAUGGCCGCACAAUCUCAGGGUACACAGGAGAGAGGGGGGCCAGGAACUCACCAAAAUCGAGGAAGAGACGUCGACCAGUAUGGUGGAGUUGUCAUCAUGCUGUGGGCAAAUCCGAAGUAGUGGCUGAGGAGGAGGUAGUCCAACGCAGCUGAAGUAGCCGGACAUAGUGGUUACACCAGAGCCAAUGCCAUCCAAUCAGUUUUGACGCCCGGCACGAAGGGGCAUGGCAAUGACCAUUCAGUCACCACCCCACCAAAGGCACACCAUGGUGUGGGGGCCAGGGCCCAGUGGCGCAUGCAGAGGCGCAAAGUGAGUCAUUGAAUCUGAUGGAACCAUUUCACUGAAAACAACACACAAAGCAAAAACUCUGUCACGUUGACAUGAAUAACAGAAGCUGUGCAAGCACACUUGCAUGCUAACCAAGUUAUUUUGCUAAAAUAUAGUUAAUAAAAAGAACAGGAAUGAGUCACGCAUAGUACCCAUGUAGUUUGCAACGCACAGAUACAUGCAUGCUAGCUGGGCAUCAAGAUGCAAAGCACUGUACUGAGACACUAACAUAAGCACAUUAAACAAACCUGUCCACUUAUUGCCAGCAGAAACAAUCAUCCUUCAAUUACUCAGUGGAUUUAUGUAUCUAAGCAACUCAGUCACAUUGUGAAAAAAAAUCCAACCAAAAGUAGAAGAAAUCGCAAAAAAGAGAAAGGGGUGUGAGACAACAAAGCUUCUCCUACAAACCGCACAUAUUAAUCAACUUCUAAAGCUAUUUUCCAAUUGACGUAUCAAAAAGGAAAGGAACAUGUCAUUUUCUGGGAACUCUAAACGGUUAGCCAAAUAAAGAGAUGAUGUUUAAUAUAUAUGAAUGUAAAUGAAAAGAUGAUGUAUAACACAUAAGUCCUACAUGCUCAAAUGUGCUACAUUGUUUGGAUCAACAGAGAGAGGAAACGAUUGUCACCUGAAUAGCAAGCAGACUGGUGCAUGUGGAGGCGAUGCAAACACGGCGGAGGAAGCUCCCUCAUACUAUCCCAGCACAUGGUUGUGGAGGAGGUGGGCUUGGUCUUGGGCGACGAUGUUCACCUCGAGCGCCUUCUAAGAAGGCUCAUCCUUGUGGAGCACGAUGGUGGCAUUCUUCGAUGUGGCAUCAAGUAAGCUCCCGUUGGGAUAAUAUUGAGCUUUUAAUACCCUUGCCAGCAAAGAAUCCGGGUCAGUUAUGAGUCGCCAACUCUGUUUCACGAAUAAAACUAAGUUGAAAGAGUAGAGGUCAUGGAAUCCCAUACCUCCUUCACUCUUCGGAAUACAAAGCAUCCACCAUGCCAUCCACUGCAUCUUCCUAUGUUUUUCAUCAUCACUCCACCUUGAGGAAUAACAUCCAUGAUUUCUUUACAAAUCCCCUUGGGUAUACUAAACACAUAAUUCCUAUACCUAAUAAUUAUUAUUAUUAUAAAAGAUGGUGCGUUUCUCUGGUUUUUUGGUCCGUUCACCCAUUUAACUAUUUUUGAGAUUUUUUUCAUGCAAGGUAGUACUAAAUAUUUUACGCCUCCGUGCUUCCACUUCUACCUCAAUCUUAUGUUUGGUUUGUACGUCACUACACCUUCGAUAGCUGCCUGGGCAUGAGCCCAUCGAACCUAUCAGCUGGCCCGGCUCCGUUGGGGCCUAGCAACCCGGUAGUGUAGGCAAUAAAAUAGGAAACAUUGUGAGGUAUCAAACUCAAGACCUGUAGUCCAGUUCGAAAGGGUACAAACCUGCUGAGCUACUUAUUGUUGUGCGUUAAACAAGAAAUAUGUUCAUGUAAUAAAUAGUACCACCUCACUAACUUAUAAACCACCCAAGCAAUUUAUAUACGUCUAUGAUGUAUUUCAGUAAGCCGCCUCAAGGAUUAAAGUAUAUGAUCAAGAGUUGUCCAUUUGCUUAUAAAAUAUGAGCACAUGAAGGAAAGAAAUUAAAAGAAGACCAAGAAGAAAAUAAAUAAAAGAAGAAAUAAGUGCCUCUAUGGUUGCAUGGGUCGGAUGAGUGAUAGAAAGAAAUUAAUGUGUGUGCGUAGAGAAAGAAAACAAACUAUAGAAACAAAUAAAUAAAUAAAUGUGUUUACAUAGAGAAAGGGGGGAUUAAAAGAAUUGAGGGGAUUAUGAGAGCAUGGUUAAUGAUAUAGCCAAGAGCAGGCUAUAUGGGGUUGUCAUGUCAUUAUAGUCAACGUAUUAUCACACUCAUACAAUAGUUAGUCAUACUAAUAUGCACUACCAUUAAUGCAUGGUACACAUCUUUCUCUCACAAGUGUUGUUGGGGCUUGUGUUACAAGCCAGCUGUAAGCUUGUAACCCGCUUCUCUUCUCUCUCCUCUGCUCUCUCCUCCAACUAGGAACAAAUUUAACGUGGCAGCUCUUAUAGCCCACAUUCUUUAACAUUACAUAAUUUUAAGUGGGCUCAAUGUCCAGGUGUGAAAACUCUAGGUACGACCUUCUUUGGUUAAACCUAGCAACUGUGUCAUUCACGAGAUGUUCCCAUGUUAAAGGCAUUGCAUGUAGUUUACCCAGACUCUAUUCCAUGAUGAACGCCCAUCAUCUUGCGUUAGUGCUUUGGUCUAGCGACAACGUCUCUCAUGCAUCGUUUCCUUUUUUGAGGCGUUGUUGUUGAAGUACCUAUCAUGUAACCUGGGGUUGCCAUCCUUGAAGGUUGUUGUUGUUGUUUGCCGCAGUCGUUCUAUUGGUUGAUUUUUUUGUAGUUAUUUACUUGUGUGAAUCCUCAAUCUCUUGAGUAAUGCUCGAGUUAUAUCGCUGUAGAGGGUGGAUGUAAUUGAUAUCUUCUCGAUAUUCGUAUAUUCCCUUUACAAAAAGAAUUGGACGCUAACACGUGGUCUCACUCAAACAUAGUAACUUUGAUAACUAAGGACAUGUACAGUUGUUCUAUUUUACAGCAUCUCCAACAGAUGCACAAUAAUAGUUAUCGUCCCCGAAAAACUAUCAUUUGGGUUCUUUUGAAGAAAAUCAGCUCCAACAGAUACCUUAUAGGUAUGUGGUGCCUAAAACAUUUAUCAAACACAAGCUUUCACUACAAGUGAGAGCAUUUCCAAAAGAUGGCAAAAAGUUUGGUGCCCCAAAAAUAAUUUUAGGUGAGGAAAGAGAAGGUAUUUGGGCACCAUAAUAUAGUUUUUUUCUUGAUGCCCUAAAAAUUUGGCAUUCUUCGUCUACCACAGAAAUUUGAGCAUAUGCAAUUUUAGAAAAUAAUAUCGAACUCAUUUCAAAUUAAACACAAAUAGUACUUAAUUAUUACGAGUUCAUCAUUCCGCAACCUCAAAGUCAACACAAUUAUUCAAAGAUGACACAAAUUAAGAUCACCACAAAUGACAUGACACAUAGAGUUAGAACUAGUGGCAUUGUUGCCCAUUCCACAUCCAUCACUCCUCGGUGAGAUAUUGUUCAAGAUCUUCAUGAGUAUCCACAUCUCGAAUUUCAUGAUGAACCACAAAGAACGCUUGAAAUUUGUCAUCUCUUCUAUGCGGACGGUGGCGUCGUGUGUAAUAUGGAGCUAUGCAUGUAUGCACAUGUUUGUACUUGGCUCCACCACUAAUAAAAACAUACAAAAUGGAUUAGUUAUCUUAACCUAUAACUAUGCAUUUGUAUGUUUAAGUAGUAUGCAUACUAGUGGUGAAUCCAGCCUGCCUGAGAACGUUUUAGCCCUAUUGUAGAUUUCACCACUUUCCAUUACUCUCUCGUUCUUUAAUACUAUUCUUGUGUACUUUGAUUUCAAGUGACAACCCCUUGCAAUAUUUACACUUCCAUGUCACUUUUGCUUUGAACAACAAUUAAAUCACAUGCACAUUCUGGUAAAGCAUUACGAGAGGCAAAGACCAUUUCCUGUGUGCCAUUUAGGAAAAGGCUACAACUAAAUCAUAUGCAAUUGUAUUGAAAUUAUUGAUCUAUCAUGCUUCACUUAUAUUAUUUUGAGUCUUUUAGAACAGCAUGGUAUUUGCUUUGGUUAUAAAAUUGGUCCUAAUAUGAUGGGCAUCCAAGAUAGGUAUAAUAAAAACUAUCAUAUAGAGUGCAUUAAACACUAUGAUCAAUUUAAUACUUGAUAAUUGUUUUGAGAUAUAAAGAUGGUAAAGUUAGAGUCAUUCUAGUUGGGUAAUUAUGAAAUUGAGAAAUACUUGUGUUAAAGUUGGCAAGUCCUGAUGGAACCAUUUCACUUAAAACAACACACAAAGCAAAAGCUCUGUCAAGUUGACAUGAAUAACAGAAGUUGUGCAAGCACACUUGCAUGCUAACCAAGUUAUUUUGCUAAAAUGUAGUUAAUAAAAAGAACAGGAAUGAGUCACGCAUAGUACCCAUGUAGUUUGCAACGCACAAAUACAUGCAUGCUAGCUGGGCAUCAAGAUGCAAAGCACUAUACUGAGACACUAACAUAAGCACAUAAAACAAACCUGUCCACUUAUUGCGAGCAGAAACAAUCAUUCUUCAAUAUUACUCAGCGGAUUUAUGUAUCUAAGCAACUCAGUCACAUUGUGAAAAAAAAUCCAACCAAAAGUAGAAGAAAUCGCAAAAAAGAGAAAGGGAUGUGAGACAACAAAGUUGCUCCUACAAACCACACAUAUUAAUCAACUUCUAAAGCUAUUUUCCAAUUGACGUAUCAAAAAGGAAAGGAACAUGUCAUUUUCUGGGAACUCUAAACGGUUAGCCAAAUAAAGAGAUGAUGUUUAAUAUAUAUGAAUGUAAAUGAAAAGAUGAUGUAUAACACAUAAAUCCUACAUGCUCAAAUGUUCUACAUUGUUUGGAUCAACAGAGAGAGGAAACGAUUGUCACCUGAACAGCAAGCAGACUGGUGCAUGUGGAGGCAAUGCAAACACGGCGGAGGAAGCUCCCUCAUCCUAUCCCAGCACAUGGUUGUGGAGGAGGUGGGCUUGGUCUUGGGCAACGAUGUUCACCUCGAGAGCCUUCUAAGAAGGCUCGUCCUUGUGGACCAGCCUGUGCACGCCAGCCACACGACCACCCUAGACGAUGAAUAGAACUCACGAUGAACACCAGCAAAUAAGAGAAGAAGAAUAUAUACGGGCCAAAAGACAAGUGUUUGUUCGUCGGUUAAUUUAUUUUAUUAAUGUAUACUAUCUAGUCUAGUAAAUUGCAUAUAAUUUAAUGAAAGCUAAGAUAGCAAAGCACUUUUCUCCUCACUGGUACAAGAAUUUUCGUUUUACUUUCUUUUUUGCCACCGACUAUUGUACAUGAGGAUCAAUCAACCAACCAAACAAACCGUAUACAUCCCUUGGACACGAACCGUAUACAUCCCACCUUCUCUCCGGCGACCUUUCCAGACUUCUCGAUCUCUUCUUCUCCCCGGCCUUCUUCUACUUCCUCUGCGAUUUCGCCGUCAUGGAAGGGUACGACAUGGUCUUCGUGCUCUCCGUCGCCUCCUUCUACCGCAACAAGGGCGCCGGCCGGGCGGAGCCCAUGGCCAUCCCACGUCUCCUUAAUUAGACGCAUCAAUCGCGCCUCCGGCACUUCAUGCGCCACAUUCUUGCUGGCUGUCACCGCCUUCGGAGGUUACACCGCCGACUUCGGGUCCGCCUGGCGGACACUCCGCCUGCUCGAUGCUCCGGGUGAGAUCCUCCUGCCGUUGCGACUCCUGGGCGGGGCAGCGUGCAUCGCCAGGGCGGUGUACCUCGCCCUGCUGUUCCGCCUGGCCUGCGUGGUGUCGCUGCUCGAGAACGCCCAUGGGUUCGGCGCCUUGUGCAGGAGCCGCGAGCUCCUCGCCGGAAAGUUCUGGGCGGCGGCCACCGUCUUCGCUGUGCUUGAUGGUUGCUUCCUAGCUGUGCUGAUGGCCUUCCCGCACUAGUAGAAAACAGGGCAUACGUUCGAGCCAGAUAAGCCCAUUAGUCCCGGUUCAGUCACGAACCGGGACCCAUGGGGCAUUAGUCCCGGUUUGUGUCUCAAACCGGGACUAAAGGCAUUAGUCCCCUGUUCAAAUGAGCCCUUUAGUCAAACUCUACCCCCUGUGGAUCGCGUUUUUAGUUUUGUAAAAAGCAAAAAAAAUGAUAAAAACUUCAAAAAUUAAAAUCCUUCGAGAUGUAGUUAUGUUACUACAUCUACUAGUUAGGAAAAUUAAAAAACUUAAAUUUGAACAUGUUUNNNNNNNNNNNNNNNNNNNNNNNNNNNNNNNNNNNNNNNNNNNNNNNNNNNNNNNNNNNNNNNNNNNNNNNNNNNNNNNNNNNNNNNNNNNNNNNNNNNNNNNNNNNNNNNNNNNNNNNNNNNNNNNNNNNNNNNNNNNNNNNNNNNNNNNNNNNNNNNNNNNNNNNNNNNNNNNNNNNNNNNNNNNNNNNNNNNNNNNNNNNNNNNNNNNNNNNNNNNNNNNNNNNNNNNNNNNNNNNNNNNNNNNNNNNNNNNNNNNNNNNNNNNNNNNNNNNNNNNNNNNNNNNNNNNNNNNNNNNNNNNNNNNNNNNNNNNNNNNNNNNNNNNNNNNNNNNNNNNNNNNNNNNNNNNNNNNNNNNNNNNNNNNNNNNNNNNNNNNNNNNNNNNNNNNNNNNNNNNNNNNNNNNNNNNNNNNNNNNNNNNNNNNNNNNNNNNNNNNNNNNNNNNNNNNNNNNNNNNNNNNNNNNNNNNNNNNNNNNNNNNNNNNNNNNNNNNNNNNNNNNNNNNNNNNNNNNNNNNAGGAGCCGCGAGCUCCUCGCCGGAAAGUUCUGGGCGGCGGCCACCGUCUUCGCUGUGCUUGAUGGUUGCUUCCUAGCUGUGCUGAUGGCCUUCCCGCACUAGUAGAAAACAGGGCAUACGUUCGAGCCAGAUAAGCCCAUUAGUCCCGGUUCAGUCACGAACCGGGACCCAUGGGGCAUUAGUCCCCUGUUCAAAUGAGCCCUUUAGUCAAACUCUACCCCCUGUGGAUCGCGUUUUUAGUUUUGUAAAAAGCAAAAAAAAUGAUAAAAACUUCAAAAAUUAAAAUCCUUCGAGAUGUAGUUAUGUUACUACAUCUACUAGUUAGGAAAAUUAAAAAACUUAAAUUUGAACAUGUUUUGCAAAAAAAAUGUUAUGAAAAUGUAAAACGGUCAUAUCUUUUGCAUGUGAUAUCAAAAAACCCGCAUAAUAUAUCAAAAAAAUCAGCACAAAAAUUCGCAUCCGAUUUUGACCGCCUACUGCUUGUUUGCAAUUUUUUAAAAGGAAAAAAAGUUAUGCCUAAUUUUUUUUUUUGAGUUUUCGUUAAAUCUGGUCAAACUAUGGUCAAACUACUUAUUAAAGAAGUAUUAGCAUCACUACAUAAUUAUUCAAGAAUAUUAGUGUUACUAAAUAAUUAUUUUAGUUUUUUUUAAUUUGGACAAAUCUGGUCAAAUUGUCCUCAAACUAUAGUCAAACUAUGGUCAAACUUAUUAUUCAAAAAAUAUUAGUGUUACUAAAUAAUUAUUGUUUUUGAGAAUAAUAGUUUCAAACUCAAACAGUGAAACAUGUGACUUAAUGCUCAAGCUAAACUCCUGAGGGUUAAUAGGGUUGACAUCUUACUAUUGUCAGAAAAAUAACAAGUGCAGACUUGAAAACGAGGGGAAAUAAAACCCGGAGGUUAAGCGUGCUCAGGCUGGAGUAGUGAGACGAUGGGUGACUGGCCAGGAAGUUAGAUGAUUUGGAAUGAUGAGGAUGAUUAGAGAUUAGAGGUUAAAUUGAGCAGUGAUGAGGGGGAUGAUGGAUGCUUAGAGAUUAAAUGUAAAAUGAUUCAGAAAUUUGAAAAUCCUAGAAAAAAAUAAAAAAAAUCGUAAAAAUACCUUUAGUCCCGGGACUAAAGAUGGAGCUCCAGACAGCGGCCACGUGGAGGGCCUUUAGUCCCGGUUCGUAUAAGAACCGGGACUAAAGAGGAAUGCCUUUAGUAACGACCCUUUAGUCCCGGUUCCAGAACCGAGACUAAAGACCUUCACGAACCGGUACGAAUGGGGCUUUUUCUACUAGUGCCGAAGGUGACAGCGGAGGACGCCCUGGGCGGCAUGGGGACGCUGGUGGCGCAGCCCGUGGUCUACCUAUUGUGUGCAAGAAGUACCACCAAAACCCAAGAACACUACUAGAGGUUUGAUCGGCAACAAUGGUGGCGUGAAGCAAAGCCUGGCGUGGAGCCGUGGAGCUGCAUUCUUGCAAAGCCUGGUAGUAAUGCUAAUUAACUUGUCUUUCUACUAGCCAAUUAAGUUUUUCUUCCGCAAAACUAGACAAUUCAGUAAGUUGCCGCCGGCACCUACAGUACUACUGUAUUUGGAUUGCUAGUUGUGGAACUCUGCGUUUUUAUGCUUGGAUAUAUUUGGUUUGCUAUUGGGUAUGUGCGUGAGUUAAUCUGUAGUACUACUGCAAUUCUUGAGAGUAUCAACUGUUACAGAUUAUGUGCAUUGGGAGGAGCUUUUUUUUUUUGAAGAUUGCAUUGGGAGGAGCUGUAUAAGCGUGGGGGAGUAUUUAUGCCAUUGUUUUCCUUUUGAGUUUGUACAUUUGCCAGUAAAAAAAAGGUCAUGCACUGGAAU
Molecule: long non-coding RNA, 77313 nt
Filed under: Triticum aestivum (bread wheat)
Lineage: Eukaryota; Viridiplantae; Streptophyta; Magnoliopsida; Poales; Poaceae
Description: long non-coding RNA (TAES_LNC001587)
Rfam family: MIR1120/MIR1122 microRNA precursor family (bases 56913-56999)
Source: RNAcentral